UCCAAUUCAGAAAUUACCAAAAUAUGCACAAAUUCAAAAAUUAUAAAAUCGCCUUCAAAUUUAACAAAAUUACCAAAAUACCCUCAAAUUCUAACAUUAUUAGAAUACCCCCAAAAUCAUAAUUUACCAAGUUAACCUCAAAAUAGUAAAUUACCAGCCUAUUCUCAAUUUAUACAAUUACUAAAAUACCCGCAAAGUGUGAAAUUACAAAAUUGCCCUCGAAUACGAAAUUACCGAAAUGGCCUUGCUGGUCAACGGUGACCCAAAGUCAACCAAAGGCGGUCGGGAAGCUCUAGCCUGAGAGUUCCAACCACGCUGAGUCCGAUGGUAUAUUAUGCCAUUUCAAAUUUUAUUUUUUCAAUCUUAUAUUUAAUAGAAUGUUAAUACCAAAUAAGCAAUAAUCUUAACUGAUUAAACUAAAUAAAUGGAUAGAUUUUAAACUCACCAAACUACUCAUUAAACCUAUUUACUAAAUUAACCCACUCUCAAAUUUUAAAAUUUUAAAUUUUACUUGAUAAACCCACUUAAUUACUCAAUAUACCCUUACUAAACUCAAUCUUUAUAAUAAUAGUGUUUUUCUCAUUAAACCCGUUAAAUUCAAUUAUAAAUCCUUAAUAAAUGUUUCAUUGAUUUUUUUUUUAAAGAAAGUUUUUGCCUUUCGCAUUUAUCAGAAGAUGAUGAUAAUAAGUUAUAGAACCCAAACUCCAAGCUACCAGAUAGAAUAGUUCUCAAUUAAGGGUCUAUUUGAGAUAGUGAUUAGACAGUUAUAGCUGAAAAACUAUGGCAUUAAAGUAUUUGGUAAACACUGGCUGCUGUAGUUUAGAAGCUAAUAUGAUAUGAUUUUUCACAUAUAUUAUGUAAAAUCUAUUAUAUCUUUAAUAAUUUUGUUAAAAUUAUUAUUUAAAAUUUAUAUUUAUUACAUAUUAUUAACUUUAAAAGUUACAACACCUCAAUUUCAAACAUGACCUAAGUUAAUUAGAAUGGCAAAAGAAUAUUUCCAACCUAAGGCCGAGACUUGUUUAUGAUUGAGCAAAAUACUCGCAAUCGUAUUCCAUGGCAAUAAACAUUCUAAGGCUUGUAUGAUACAUCAUAAUCUUAAAUUCAUUAAUUUCUAAAUAAGACCAAACCUCAAAAGCGAUGCCCAUUGUAUACAUCGAAUGCUGAUGUUAACACGUUGCCACCCAAAAAUGGUGACUCAACUUCAAUUUCAUUCAAAGUUGAGACAUUCUCAGUUUCGGACAAGGUGGCACCGAAAGAACUCAAAUUCUCAUUACAUUACAGAAAUUUUGACAGAAUAUGAUCAGGGUUUAAUGAAAAUAUAAUUAGAGUUUGAUAAAAUACGUUAAAUGUAAAGGUGGGUUUAAAAAGUAAAAAUUCUGUUUUUUUUAACUAUAUUUUAAUUUUCAUAAUUGUAAUUUAAUUUAAAAAUAUUUUAAUCAUAAAAAUUAAUCUCAAAAAUAGAUUUAUUGAGCCGUUUGUUGAGUUCAAAUAGCCCCACCUUCAUCGAAAUGCCCUCAAACUCAUAAAUCACAUAAAUAAUCUAAAAAUUCCAAAAUUAUAAACUACCAAAUCAUUCUCAAUUUCAUAAAUUACUAAUUAUUCUCCAAUUCAGAAAUUACCAAAAUAUGCACAAAUUCAAAAAUUAUAAAAUCGCCUUCAAAUUUAACAAAAUUACCAAAAUACCCUCAAAUUCUAACAUUAUUAGAAUACCCCCAAAAUCAUAAUUUACCAAGUUAAUCUCAAAAUCGUAAAUUACCAGCCUAUUCUCAAUUUAUACAAUUACUAAAAUACCCGCAAAGUAUGAAAUUAUAAAAUUGCCCUCGGAUACGAAAUUACCGAAAUGGCCUUGCUGGUCAACGGUGACCGAAAGCCAACCAAAUGCGGUCGGGAAGCUCUAGCCUGAGAAUUCCAACCACGCUGAGUCCGAUGGUGGCGGCGGUGACGAUCGACGCGCGGCGACGGUGGCUGAUCGAGCUCCCAAAGCCAUGAACUUUCCAACGGCUGACCGGCCGGGACAGGGCAGUUCCCGGUUCAGUGGAUGGUCGAAAAGGACAGAGGGGAUUGUGGGGAACAAAAUCCAACUGGUGGCCUCACCCAAAACUGGCAAAAUAGCGGUGAAACAAUGCGGCUUCAAUAAGCGGCUUUCCGGCCAAUAAUCGACGGCAAUGACGGAAUGGAAAUGACGGUCAGUUCUCAAGCUUUCUACUGGCACCUUCCUUGGUCGGUAAGGUGGCCGGAAAAUGGAGAUAAAUUCGGGUCGGAUCGCGCAGGUUCGGGUCGGAUCGCUCCCAUCUCUUUCCCUCUUUCUUUCUCUCUCUUCAUUUCUCUCUCUCUUAAUUCAUAGGGGUGUGGGGUAAUACAUAUGAAAAAAAAAUUAUGGUUUGGUUUAUUUUUAAAAAAAAAAGUAUGUCAACAAUUAUGACAUGGUCAUUGGGUGCAAUACGAAAUACAUUAUUUUAACUAAAGUACAAUGGUAGAGGAUACAAUUAAUAUUGUAUUAAAAUAUAAAAUUAAUUCUCUAAAUUUAAAUUUAAAAGUAUCUGGGCUGAUUUUGAUAAAAAAUAAUUUUAAUUUUUUAUUAAAUAUUAAAAUUAAUUUUUAAAUUUUUAAAAUUAUUUGUAAACCUGAUAAAAUAAUUUAAAAUGAACCUUAGAACUCAAAUUAAAAUUUGAAUAUUAAGAUUCUUAUUAUUACUCAAUGAUAUAAUAACAAUUAACAAUAUUUUCGUAAUUUCAUGAUUUAUUUCCUUUACAAUCGCAUUAAGUUCAGAAAGUUUCCUUCGAGGAAUAUAACCGAAUUGAAGAGGAAGGAAGACGCGUGAAAGCCAUUUAACCAAAAAUUCAUGAUUAGCCCAAUUUUUCAAAAGCUCCCUCAACAAAUGAUACUCAUCGUGCUUCUCUCUCAAGUAUGGCAAUGCCUUUCAUGGCAUAUAAUCUUGAAGUACUUGCUUUUACUUGUCAUACAGUUGUUUAGGAUCUUCAUCAAGAGGACGAGCCGACUGAGAACAAAUAUUGUAUACGGUUGUGUAAAAGAUAAAAGAUCAUUUAGUCUCUAUAUUUUAAGAUUAAUAUUUAUUUAAUCCUUAUAUUUUUUAAAAUCUUUGCCGUUAAAGUAUUGAUAUUCACACUGUUACUUUUUAUUUCUUUUGUCUUACUUUAACAAUAUUGUCCUUUUAUAAUAAUUUUUUUGCUUGGACAUUAAUAAAAAGAAAAUAAUUAAAUUACUAAUUUAGCCCUAAAAAUAAAAAUAAAAAAUUUAUAUUAAUUUUUAAUUUUUAAAAAUUAAAUUGUCAAAAAUUGUAUGCAAACUACCAAGUAUGCAAAUGGAGCUUGCAAAAAAAUUAUAAUAAACUAAUGGCAAAUUAACGGAACAAUACUUUACACUAUUAUUUAAAAUAUAGGGAUGAAAUAUGUAUCAUAUUAAAUCCUAAGGGUGAAAAGGACAUUUUCUGUUCUGUUGCUUUGCUUGACGGAAUUCAAACAAUUAGGAUUACGAAGCACAAAUUCAUCAACUUAAGGGAUUUUCUUUAUCAACGAAACGAGGUAAGUGCAGGAGGACAAAAGUUGUUUGCUUGAUAGGCCUUGAUUGUUGGCCCAAAAGUUUUAGCUGGUAAAUAACUUCCAAGCCCAUAUUCUUGUGAUCUGGGAAGUGAAUUCUCUAUUCUUAGACAAGAACUUUAUAUGCAGAAAGAAAAAUAAGAAAAAUGGUUGGUUGGUGGGGUGAGAGAUUUUGUUAUACACAUUGGCUUACCAAAUUGGAUUCAUGAAAUACAUUCAAAAUUUAUUGAAAAGUAAAAUUAACGAAUGGUGAAGAGAAAUCUCAAAAUAAUUGGGGAUAGCGAGAGAAAGGAUUGAAGAAGUCGCUAAAAAAAAAAAAUUAGAAAGGAAAAGAAGAACAAAUAAUGAUAAUUUUUCAUGUUCUUUCGUAUGAACCGCAAUGCAACGAAUAAUUGUCAAGAAGACAAUUUCUACCCAUUACUAUUUUGUUCAUAAUUAGUUCUUAGGUCUAUCUUUAUCUAUAGGGUUGUCUAAAAUUUUUAAUUAAUGUAUAAAACAUAUUCAUCGGUACGCGUACUCAUCACGAUAUCUAUGGCAGCAAUGCCAAUUAAUUAGUGCUUCAGGAAAAAAAAAUCCAAUGGAAUAGAAAUUAUAAAAUUAAUAGACUUGAAAUUGACUAGGAACUUUAGGGUUUCGUAGUGUGCAUCACAACCUAAGAACCUACUCCAAUGUUUCUCCAAUGCCUAAUUCAUUCCUCGAUUUCUCGCUGUCACAGCAGAUAAUCGAAUGAUCAUCCACCUUAUCUCCUCUAGGCAAUUGUCUGCAUCCAAAUUCUCCAUCUUCAAGAAGCUGACUUGCACGCACCACCAACAACUCAUGUUCUAGUAUGUCCGUCAAUUUCCGCUCGCUGCUUGGUUGCAGGUAAUGAGACGCUCUCCCUCUUUCUUUCUUCAAGCAUUCACCAACCUUGAGCAUGUAAUCUUCACUCGAAUCCUGAAGAAUCCAAUUUGAUGCCUUGCGAGAAUAAUAAGCCCCCGUAUCCUGAAGCAUAUGUUCUUCAAAAUCCUUUUCGUAACAAUGCAUCUUCCCCUUGUCAAUCUCAACGAAUAAAUUCAAUACAUUCUUCACCAACGUUCUGUCAAUCUCUUCUCCCUCGCGUUCUCUAUCGAUUAAAGCAAUUACAGCAUCCUUGACUUUGUCCUUUAUAGCUUCAAACACCAGAUCCCGGAAGCAAGAAAGUCCAAACGCAUUAAGUUUAGGAAGUUUCUUUCGAGUAAUAUAAGCGCCUUCACCUUGAAGAGGAAGGAAGACGAGUGAAAGCCAUUUAACCAAAAAUUUAUGAUUAGCCCAGCUUUUCAAAAGCUCCCUCAACAAAUCAUACUCAUCGUGCUUCUCUCUCAAAGAUGGCAAUACCUUUGAUGGCAUAUAAUCUUCAAGUACUUGCUUGUAAUUGUUAUACAAUUGUUUGCUAUUUUUGUCAAGAGGAUAAGUCCGCUGGGAGUUAAUAUUGUAUACGGUUGUGUAAAGCAUCAUGUAAUCCUCCAAAUUAAACGCUGGCUCCGGCAAUCCUUCGAAAAUCCUCUUCAAUUUUGUGAUUCCCCGCUCCAAAUAGUCCCAUCCUUCUUCGGAGUCACAUGCCUUGCGCUUCAUUGCUAAUCAAGUUUUUCGAUCGACGAUUCAAGAAAAAACUGAAAACCAAGAACUCGAUUCCUUCCAAUUUAUUAACUCUAUUGCGAAGUUGGGAUUUGAGAGCUUAAUGUAAGCGUCUUUAUAUAAGGAUGUAUAUCCUAACUAGUUAAGGAAAAGGAAAGCCUAAUUAGUCAAGGAAAAGACUUAUUAAGUUUCACUAAAUUUAUAUAUCUUCUCAAAUUAGGAAAAAGAUUUGUAAAUUUUCAACUUCAAUUUUUUUUUUCUUAACUUUGUAAGAGAUUUUGAAACAUGGUAUUUAAGAAAUUCUAAGGUGAGUAUUUAAUUUUUUUAUAAUUUUAUAUUAAUAAGACGUUUUUAAAUUUUUGUUAAUAAAUUUAAUCUUACCUAUCACCAUAAUCUCUCUUAUAUAUAUAUAGUACAUAAAAACUUAUUCUCACUUGAUGUAUGAGUUUCUACCCCUGUCCUCCUAUCUAUAUUUUAUUUAGAUGUCAAAAACAUAACGUUUUUAAAACUAACUGAAAUUACUAACUGAAGAAAAAAGUUAACUUCAUGUUAGUCACUUUUCAAUCUCUCAUGAAAAACUUCACUUCUUCUUCAUGCACAUGUCAAUUAAAUGUUAGUAAUAAAUUAUAGCAGAGAAAAUUAUCGACAUGACAAUAUUUCAAGGAAAGAAAAAAUCUAGUCACUUAAAUUAUUAUUCUUAUUCUUCUUUUUUUUUUUUUUUACUUGUAUUCAUUCUCCCUUUGCCAUUUCUUUUUUUGAUCUCGAUUGGCUAUCAAAGAAACCCAUCUAACCAUUUUGUUUUCAAGACUUUGUGUCGUUAGUCUAGUUUUCCAAUUAUCAAAAUUUAGCUAUAAAAUGAGAGGAGAAAAAGAAUUUAAUUUUGAUUUGAUUCGAAUUUUUGCUUAAGACAGCAAGCCUGGGCUAGACCCCGGAAACUUUUGGAUAUACCCCUUGCAUUUUUAUAAUUUUAUUAAAUAAUAAAAUUUAUUUUAUUUUCAAAUAUGUCCUCAAUUCAACUUUUUUUUUCUUUUUUUAAUACUUCAAAGUAGGAUUAGAUACUUAUUUUAUAAGAUGAUUCAAUUGUAUAUUUAUUGGAUAAAUUGAAAUCAUUAGGAUGCUAAAAUAUUAGUACGGAUAAAUAUUUAAUAUACACUUACUAAACUCAAUUUUUAUAAUAAUAAUAUUUUUACUCGCUAAAUCCAUUAAAUUCAUUUAUAAAUCUUCAAUGAAAUCAGUUAUUUUUUUUAACACCGAUGGAGAUGGUAAUUAAAUCAAAAUGAAUUUGUUAGCGUAGGUGCUACUUGAGCUUGUGAUGAUAAUCAGAUAAUUGAGAAUCAGCCAUGCCUAUUGUUAGCGGAGAGGCUGAGCUACCAUUGGUGAAUGGUGAUGCGGCUUAGCUUAAUUCGGCUCCACUAAAUGGCCAAAUUGAAAAGAAAAGAAAUUUAACCCGUUGUUUAAAAUCAAAUUUGCUUUUGAUUAAUGAUAAUUAAAGUUUUCAGAAAAUUUAAGGAUUAAUAUUAUAAUCAGAGCACAUGACUCAAUGAUCGAUGAUGAGCUCCAUUUGAAUGCGCAUCAAACCGUAGGAAGAUAAUUGAAAGUAAAAGAUUGCCCUCGUAAUUCAUGCCUCUAGUUAAUUAGGAUUUAAUGAAAAUAAGAUUAUGAUUUAACAAAAUUAUGUUGAUGUAUAGAUGGGCUGAAAAAAUUAAAAUUCUGUUUUUUUAUAUUAUAUUUUAAUAUCCAUAAUUGUAAUUUAAUUUAAAAAUAUUUUAAUUAUAAAAAAUUAAUCUCAAAAAUAAAUUUAGUGAGCCGUUUGUUGAGUUCAAAUAACACAACCUUCAUCGAAAUGCCCACAAACUCAUAAAUCACAUAAAUAAUCUAAAAAUUCCAAAAUUAUAAACUACCAAAUCAUUCUCAAUUUCAUAAAUUACGAAUUAUUCUCCAAUUCAGAAACUACCAAAAUAUGCACAAAUCCAAAAAUUAUAAAAUCGCCUCAAAUUUAACAAAAUUACCAAAAUACCCUCAAAUUCUAACAUUAUUAGAAUACCCCCAAAAUCAUAAUUUACCAAGUUAAUCUCAAAAUCGUAAAUUACCAGCCUAUUCUCAAUUUAUACAAUUACUAAAAUACCCGCAAAGUAUGAAAUUAUAAAAUUGCCCUCGGAUACGAAAUUACCGAAAUGGCCUUGCUGGUCAAAGGUGACCGAAAGCCAACCAAAUGCGGUCGGGAAGCUCUAGCCUGAGAAUUCCAACCACGCUGAGUCCGAUGGUGGCGGCGGUGACGAUCGACGCGCGGCGACGGUGGCUGAUCGAGCUCCCAAAGCCAUGAACUUUCCAACGGCUGACCGGCCGGGACAGGGCAGUUCCCGGCUCAGUGGAUGGUCGGAAAGGACAGAGGGGAUUGUGGGGAACAAAAUCCAACUGGUCGCCUCACCCAAAACUGGCGGAACAGCGGCGAAACAAUGCGGCUUCACCGCAAAAUUUUGCGGCUUCAAUAAACGGCUUUCCGGCCAAUAAUCGACGGCGAUGACGUAAUGGAAAUGACGGCCAGUUCUCAAGCUUUCUAUUGGUACCUUCCUUGGUCGGUAAGGUGGCUGGAAAAUGGAGAUAAAUUCGGGUCCGAUCGCGAAGGUUCGGGUCGGAUCGCUCCCAUCUCUUUCCCUCUUUCUUUCUCUCUCUUCGUUUCUCUCUCUCUUAAUUCAUAGGGGCGUGGGGUAAUACACAGAAAAAAAAAAAAAAUGGUUUGGUCUAUUUAAAAAAAAAAGAGUAUGUCAACAAUAAUGACAUUGUCAUUGGGUGCAAUACGAAACACAUUAUUUUAACUAAAGUAUAAGAGUAAUGAUACAGCCAUAAAUUCUUGUAUAAAUUUAUUUUGUACAAACUGACGUGUCAUUAAUUCAUUGGUUGAAUGAAAAUAUAAAAUAAUAAAAACAAAUCAUGUGGGCCAAGUGAUUUUUAAUUCAACCAAUCUUAUCAUGCCACAUCAGUUUAUACAAAAUAAAUUUGUACAAGAAUUUGUGGUUGUAUCAUUACUCAAAGUAUAAUGGUAGAGGAUAAAAUUAAAAUUGUAUUAAAAUAUAAAAUUAAUUCUCUAAAUUUAAAUUUAAAAUCAUAUGGACUGAUUUUGAUAAAAAAUAAUUUUAAUUUUUUUAUGAAAUAUUAAAAUUAAUUUUUAAAUUUUAAAAUCACUUUUAAACCUCCUAAAGUAAUUUAAAAUGAACUUUAGAACGCAAAUUAAAACUUUAAUAUUAAGAUUCUUAUUAUUACUCAAUGAUAUAAUAACAAUUAACAAUAUUUUCAUAAUUUCAUCAUUUAUUUCCUUUAAAAUCGCAUUAAGUUUAGGAAGUUUCCUUCGAGGAAUAUAACCUACCUGAAGAGGAAGGAAGACGCGUGAAAGCCAUUUAACCAAAAUUUCAUUAUUAGCCCAGCUUUUCAAAAGCUCCCUCAACAAAUGAUACUCAUCGUGCUUCUCUCUCAAAGAUGGCAAUGCCUUUCAUGGCAUAUAAUCUUCAAGUACUUGCUUUUACUUGUCAUAUAGCUGUUUGGGAUCUUCAUCAAGAAGACGAUCCGGCUGGGAACAAAUAUUGUAUACGGUUGUGUAAAGGAUAAAAGAUCAUUUAGUCUCUAUAUUUUAAGAUUAAUAUUUAUUUAGUCCUUGUAUUUUUUUAAAUCUCUGCCGUUAAAGUAUUGAUAUUCAUAUUGUUACUUUUUAUUUCUUUUGUCUUACUUUAACAAUAUUGCCCUUUUAUAAUUAUUUUUUUACUUGGACAUUAAUAAAAAGAAAAUAAUUAAAUUACUAAUUUAGCCCUAAAUAUAAAAAAAUUAUAUUAAUUUUUAAUUUUAAAAAAUUAAAUUGUCAAAAAUUGUAUGCAAACUACCAAGUAUGCUAAUGGAGCUUGCAAAAAAAAUAUAAUAAACUAAUGGCAAAUUAAUGAAAGAAUACUUUACACUAUUAUUUAAAAUAUAGGGAUGAAAUAUGUAUUAUAUUAAAUCCUAAGGGUGAAAAGGACAUUUUGUGUUCUGUUGCAUUGCUUGACGGAAUUCAAACAAUUAGGAUUACGAAGCACAAAUUCAUCAACUUAAGGGAUUUUCUUUAUCAACGAAACGAGGUAAGUGCAGGAGGACAAAAGUUGUUUGCUUGAUAGGCCUUGAUUGUUGGCCCAAAAGUUUUAGCUGGAAAACAACUUCCAAGCCCAUAUACUUGUGAUCUGGAAGUGAAUUCUCUAUUCUUAGACAAGAACUUUAUAUGAAGAAAGAAAAAUAAGAAAAAUGGUUGGUUGGUGGGGUGAGAGAUUUUGUUAUACACAUUGGCUUACCAAAUUGGAUUCAUGAAAUACAUUCAAAAUUUAUUGAAAAGUAAAAUUAACGAAUGGUGAAGAGAAAUCUCAAAAUAAUUGGGGAUAGCGAGAGAAAGGAUUGAAGAAGUCGCUAAAAAAAAAAAAUUAGAAAGGAAAAGAAGAACAAAUAAUGAUAACUUAUUCAUAUUCUUUCGUAUGAACCACAAUGCAACGAAUAAUUAUUGAGAAGGCAAUUUAUACCCAUUACUAUUUUGUUCAUAAUUAGUUCUUAGGUCUAUCUUUAUCUAUAGGGUUGUCUAAAAUUUUUAAUUAAUGUAUAAAACAUAUUCAUCGGUACGCGUACUCAUCACGAUAUCUAUGGCAGCAAUGCCAAUUAAUUAGUGCUUCAAAAAAAAAAAAUCCAAUGGAAUAGAAAUUAUAAAAUUAAUAGACUUGAAAUUGACUAGGAACUUUAGGGUUUCUUGGUGUGCAUCACAAUCUAAGAACCUACUCCAAUGUUUCUCCAAUGCCUAAUUCAUUCCUCGAUUUCUCGCUGUCACAGCAGAUAAUCGAAUGAUCAUCCACCUUAUCUCCUCUAGGCAAUUGUCUGCAUCCAAAUUCUCCUUCUUCAAGAAGCUGACUUGCACGCACCACCAACAACUCAUGUUCUAGUAUGUCCGUCAAUUUCCGCUCGCUGCUUGGUUGCAGGUAAUGAGACGCUCUCCCUCUUUCUUUCUUCAAGCAUUCACCAACCUUGAGCAUGUAAUCUUCACUCGAAUCCUGAAGAAUCCAAUUUGAUGCCUUGCGAGAAUAAUAAGCCCCCGUAUCCUGAAGCAUAUGUUCUUCAAAAUCCUUUUCGUAACAAUGCAUCUUCCCCUCGUCAAUCUCAACGAAUAAAUUCAAUACAUUCUUCACCAACGUUCUGUCAAUCUCUUCUCCCUCGCGUUCUCUAUCGAUUAAAGCAAUUACAGCAUCCUUGACUUUGUCCUUUAUAACAUCAAACACCAGAUCCCGGAAGCAAGAAAGUCCAAACGCAUUAAGUUUAGGAAGUUUCUUUCGAGUAAUAUAAGCGAAUUCAACUUGAAGAGGAAGGAAGACGAGUGAAAGCCAUUUAACCAAAAAUUUAUGAUUAGCCCAGCUUUUCAAAAGCUCCUUCAACAAAUCAUACUCAUCGUGCUUCUCUCUCAAAGAUGGCAAUACCUUUGAUGGCAUAUAAUCUUCAAGUAUUUGCUUGUAAUUGUUAUACAACUGUUUGCUAUUUUUGUCAAGAGGAUAAGUCGACUCAGAAUAAAUAUUGUAUACGGUUGUGUAAAGCAUCAUGUAAUCCUCCAAAUUAAACGUUGGCUCCGGCAAUCCUUCGAAAAUCCUCUUCAAUUUUGUGAUUCCCCGAUCCAAAUAGUCCCAUCCUUCUUCGGAGUCAAUUGCCUUCUGCUUCAUAGCUAAUCAAGUUUUUUGAUCGACGAUUCAAGAAAAAACUGAAAACCAAGAACUCGAUACCUUCUAAUUUAUUAACUCUAUUGCGAAGUUGGGAUUUGGGAGCUCAAUGUAAGCAUCUUUAUAUAAGGAUGUAUAUCCUAACUAGUCAAGGAAAAUGAAAGCCUGACUAGUUAAGGAAAAGGAAGAAGGAAAAGACUUAUUAAGUUUCACUAAACUUAUAUAUCUUCUCAAAUUAGGAAAAUGAUUUGUAAAUUUUCAACUUCAAUUUUUUUUUCCUAAACUUUAUAAGAGAUUUUGAAACAUGGUAUUUAAGAAAUUCUAAGGUGAGUAUUUAAUUUUUUUUUAUAAUUUUAUAUUAAUAAGAUGUUUUUAAAUUUUUGUUAAUAAAUUUAAUCUUACCUAUCACCAUAAUCUCCUCUUAUAUAUAUAUAUAUAGUACAUAAAAACUUAUUCUCACUUGAUGUAAGAGUUUCUACCCCUGUCCUCCUAUCUAUAUUUUAUUUAGAUGUCAAAAACAUAACGUUUUUAAAACUAACUGAAAUUACUAACUGAAGAAAAAAGUUAACUUCAUGUUAGUCACUUUUCAAUCUCUCAUGAAAAAUUGCACUUCUUCUUCACGCAUAUGUCGAUUAAAUUUUAUUAAUAAAUUAUAGCAGAGAAAAUUAUCGACAUGACAAUAUUUCAAGGAAAGAAAAAAUCUAGUCACUUAAAUUAUUAUUCUUAUUCUUCUUUUUUUUUUUUUUUACUUGUAUUCAUUCUCCCUUUGCCAUUUCUUUUUUUGAUCUCGAUUGGCUAUCAAAGAAACCCAUCUAAAAAAUGAGAGGAGAAAAAGAAUUUAAUUUUGAUUUGAUUCGAAUUUUUGCUUAAGACAGCAAGCCUGGGCUAGACCCCGGAAACUUUUGGAUAUACCCCUUGCAUUUUUAUAAUUUUAUUAAAUAAUAAAAUUUAUUUUAUUUUAAAAUAUGUCCUCAAUUCAACUUUUUUUUUCUUUUUUUAAUACUUCAAAGUAGGAUUAGAUACUUAUUUUAUAAGAUGAUUCAAUUGUAUAUUUAUUGGAUAAAUUGAAAUCAUUAAGAUGCUAAAAUAUUAGUACGGAUAAAUACUUAAUAUACACUCACUAAACUCAAUUUUUAUAAUAAUAAUAUUUUAACUCGCUAAAUCCAUUAACUUCAUUUAUAAAUCUUCAUUGAAAUCAUUUAUUUUUUUUAACACCGAUGGAGAUGGUAAUUAAAUCAAAAUGAAUUUGUUAGCGUAGGUGCUACUUGAGCUUGUGAUGAUAAUCAGAUAAUUGAGAAUCAGCCAUGCCUAUUGUUAGCGGAGAGGCUGAGCUACCAUUGGUGAAUGGUGAUGCGGCUUAGCUUAAUUCGGCUCCACUAAAUGGCCAAAUUGAAAAGAAAAGAAAUUUAACCCGUUAAUUAAAAUACAAUUUGCUUUUGAUUAAUGAUAAUUAAAGUUUUCAGAAAAUUUAAGGAUUAAUAUUAUAAUCAGAGCACAUGACUCAAUGAUCGAUGAUGAGCUCCAUUUGAAUGCGCAUCAAACCGUAGGAAGAUAAUUGAAAGUAAAAGAUUGCCACUCGUAAUUCAUGCCUCUAGUUAAUUAGGAUUUAAUGAAAAUAAGAUUAUGAUUUAACAAAAUUAUGUUGAUGUAUAAAUGGGCUGAAAAAAUUAAAAUUCUGUUUUUUUAUUAUAUUUUAAUAUCCAUAAUUGUAAUUUAAUUUAAGAGUAUUUUAAUCAUAAAAGAUUAAUCUCAAAAAUAGAUUUAGUGAGCCGUUUGUUGAGUUCAAAUAACACAACCUUCAUCGAAAUGCCCUCAAACUCAUAAAUCACAUAAAUAAUCUAAAAAUUCCAAAAUUAUAAACUACCAAAUCAUUCUCAAUUUCAUAAAUUACUAAUUAUUCUCCAAUUCAGAAAUUACCAAAAUAUGCACAAAUUCAAAAAUUAUAAAAUCGCCUUCAAAUUUAACAAAAUUACCAAAAUACCCUCAAAUUCUAACAUUAUUAGAAUACCCCCAAAAUUAUAAUUUACCAAGUUAAUCUCAAAAUCGUAAAUUACCAGCCUAUUCUUGAUUUAUACAAUUACUAAAAUACCCGCAAAGUAUGAAACUAUAAAAUUGCCCUCGGAUACGAAAUUACCGAAAUGGCCUUACUGGUCAACGGUGACCGAAAGCCAACCAAAUGCGGUCGGGAAGCUCUAGCCUGAGAAUUCCAACCACGCUGAGUCCGAUGGUGGCGGCGGUGACGAUCGACGCGCGGCGACGGUGGCUGAUCGAGCUCCCAAAGCCAUGAACUUUCCAACGGCUGACCGGCCGGGACAGGGCAGUUCCCGGCUCAGUGGAUGGUCGGAAAGGACAGAGGGGAUUGUGGGGAACAAAAUCCAACUGGUCGCCUCACCCAAAACUAGCGGAACAGCGGCGAAACAAUGCGGCUUCACCGCCAAAUUUUGCGGCUUCAAUAAACGGCUUUCCGGCCAAUAAUCGACGGCAAUGACGGAAUGGAAAUGACGGCCAGUUCUCAAGCUUUCUAUUGGUACCUUCCUUGGUCGGUAAGGUGGCUGGAAAAUGGAGAUAAAUUCGGGUCCGAUCGCGAAGGUUCGGGUCGGAUCGCGAACAUCUCUUUCCCUCUUUAUUUCUCUCUCUCCGUUUCUCUCUCUCUUAAUUCAUAGGAGCGUGGGGUUAUACAUAUGAAAAAAAAAAAUUAUGGUUUGGUCUAUUUAUAAAAAAAAAAAGUAAGUCAACAAUUAUGACAUUGUCAUUGGGUGCAAUACGAAAUACAUUAUUUUAACUAAAGUAUAGUGGUAGAGGAUAAAAUUAAUAUUGUAUUAAAACAUAAAAUUAAUUCUCUAAAUUUAAAUUUAAAAUCAUAUGGGCUAAUUUUGAUAAAAAAUAAUUUUAAUUUUUUUAUGAAAUAUUAAAAUUAAUUUUUAAAUUUUUAAAAUCACUUUUAAAUCUCCUAAAGUAAUUUAAAAUGAACUUUAGAACUCAAAUUAAAACUUGAAUAUUAAAAUUCUUAUUAUUACUCAAUGAUAUAAUAACAAUUAACAAUAUUUUUCAUAAUUUCAUGAUUUAUUUCAUUUACAAUCGCAUUAAGUUUAGGAAGUUUCUUUCGAGGAAUAUAACCUACCUGAAGAGGAAGGAAGACGCGUGAAAGCCAUUUAACCAAAAAUUUAUGAUUAGCCCACCUUUUCAAAAGCUCCCUCAACAAAUCAUACUCAUCGUGCUUCUCUCUCAAAGAUAGCAAUACCUUUGAUGGCAUAUAAUCUUCAAGUACUUGCUUGGAAUUGUUAUUGAGCUAUUCUCUAUCUUUGUCAAGAGGAGAAGUCGGCUGGGAAUUAAUAUUGUAUACGGUUGUGUAAAGCAUCUUGUAAUCCUCCAAAUUAAACGCUGGCUCCGGCAAUCCUUCGAAAAUCCUCUUCAAUUUUGUGAUUCCCCACUCCAAAUAGUCCCAGCCUUCUUCGGAGUCACAUGCCUUACGCUUCAUUGCUAAUCAAGUUUUUCAAUCGACGAUUCAAGAAAAAACUGAAAACCAAGAACUUGAUUCCUUCCAAUUUAUUAACUCUAUUGUGAAAUUGGGACUUGAGAGCUCAAUGUAACCGUCUUUAUAUAAGGAUGUAUAUCCUAACUAGUUAAGGAAAAGGAAAGCCUAACUAGUCAGGAAAAAGGAAGAAAGAAAAGUCUUAUUAAGUUUCACUAAACUUAUAUAUCUUCUCAAAUUAGGGAAAGGAUUUGAAAAUCUUCAACUUCAAUUUUUUUUUCCUAAACUUUAUAAGAGAUUUUGAAACAUCGUAUUUAAGAAAUUCUAAGGCGAGUAUUUAAUUUUUUUUAUAAUUUUAUAUUAAUAAGAUGUUUUUAAAUUUGUGUUAAUAAAUUUAAUCUUACCUAUCACCAUCACCUCCUCUUAUAUAUAUUACUUUUUUAGUACAUAAAAACUUAUUCUCACUUGAUGUAUGAGUUUCUACCCCUGUCCUCCUAUCUAUAUUUUAUUUAGAUGUCAAAAAUAUAACGUUUUUAAAACGAACUGAAAUUACUAAUGGACGAAAAAAGUUAACUCCAUGUUAGUCACUUUUCAAUCUCUCAUGAAAAACUUCACUUCUUCUUCAUGCACAUGUCAAUUAAAUGUUAGUAAUAAAUUAUAGCAGAGAAAAUUAUCGACAUGACAAUAUUUCAAGGAAAGAAAAAAUCUAAUCACUUAGAGUAUUAUUCUUAUUCUUCUUAUCUUUUUUACUUGUAUUCAUUCUCCCUUUGCCAUUUCUUUUUUUAUCUCGAUUGGCUAUCAAAGAAACCCAUCUAACCAUUUUGUUUUCAAGACUUUGUGUCGUUAGUCUAGUUUUCCAAUUAUCAAAAUUUAGCUAUAAAAUGAGAGGAGAAAAAGAAUUUAAUUUUGAUUUGAUUCGAAUAUUUGCUUAAGACAGCAAGCCUGGGUUAGACCCCGGAAAAUUUUGGAUAUACCCCUUACAUUUUUAUAAUUUAUUAAAUAAUAAAUUUUAUUUUAUUUUCAUAUAUGUCCUCAAUUCAAUUUUUUUUCUUUUUUUAAUACUUCAAAGUAGUAUUAGAGACUUAGUUUAUAAGAUGAUUCAAUUGUAUAUUUAUUGGAUAAAUUGAAAUCAUUAGGACGUGAAAAUAUUAGUACUACUUUAACUUAUUAUGAUCGACCCGCCCCGAAUUCCAUAGGCGAAUCUAACAGCAACUCAAAUAUAUAUACUUUAGAAAACUAAUCCUUUUACAAUCCAUAAAAAUUCGAGCUUCGAUUACAAAUAUAUUACUUGUACUGCAGUAAAAAAAUUUAAAAAUUUAUGCCAAACCAUGUACCGUCCUCAAUUCAAGUUCUUUUCAUUACUCAUCAUGAAUCAAUCCUGAUUUCUGGGAAUUGAAUCACAAUAAAUUAUAAUGAGUACAAAACUUAAUAAGCAAACUGGUUUUUCAUAUACCAAAAUACAUAUAUACAUACAUAUAUAUAAUGCAAAUGGAUGGCAUGCAAUGAUAUUCUAAAAAAUUGUAAAACAAAUCAUUAAGUUCAGGAAGUUUCCUUCAAGGAAUAUAAGCGCCUUGAGCUUGAAGUUGAAGGAAGACGAGUGAAAGAAAUUUAACCAAAAAUUUAUGAUUAGCCUAGCUUUUCAAAAGCUCCCUCAACAAAUCAUACUCAUCGUGCUUCUCUCUCAAAGAUGGCAAUACCUUUGAUGGCAUAUAAUCUUCAAGUACUUGCUUGUACUUGCUAUAAAGCUGUUUGGGAUCUUCGUUAAUAGGAUAAGUUGGCUUAUAAGGCUGUGUAAAGCAUCAUGUAAUCCUCCAAAUUAAACGCUGGCUCCGGCAAUCCUUCGAAAAUCCUCUUCAAUUUUUUUGAUUCCCCGCUCCAAUUAGUCCAAUUCUUCUUCGGAGUCACUUGCCUUUCGCUUCAUUGCUAAUCAAGUUUUUCGAUCGACGAUUCAAGAAAAAACUAAAAACCAAGAACUCGAUUCCUUCCAAUUUAUUAACUCUAUUGCGAAGUUGGGACUUGAGAGCUCAAUGUAAGCGUCUUUAUAUAAGGACAUAUAUCUAACUAGUCAAGGAAACAAUAAAACGACUUAAAUAAUGGGUUUACUAAACUUAUAUAUUUUCUCAAAUUAGGGAAACGAUUAAACAAUAUAUCUUCAAAUUUAAUUUUUUUCUAAAUUUUAUUAGAGAUUUUGACACAUGCUAUUUAAAAGAUUCUAUGGUGAGGAUUUAACAUUUAUAAUUUUAUAUUAAUAAGAUAUUUUUUUAAUUUUUGUUAAUUAAUUUAAUCUUACCUACCACCAUCAUAUAUUUCUAUAGCAUAAUGACUUUUUAUCACUUGAUGUAUGAGUUUCUACCACAGUCCUCUUAUAUAUAUUUUAGCCAGAUGCCAAAAAAACCAUAACGUAUUUAGAACUAACUAAAAUUACUGACUAAACCAUAACGUAUUUAAAACUAAUUAAAAUUACUGACUAACGGAAGUUAACUCCAUAUUAGUCACUUCUCAAAUUCUCAUGACAAACGGCACUUCUACUUCAUGCAUAUGUCAAUUAAACUUUAGUAAUAAAUUAUAGCAGAGAAAACUAUCAACAUGACAUUAUUUCAAGAAAAGAAAAAAAAUCUGAGCGCUUAGAUUAUUAUUCUUAAUUUCUUAUUCUUCUUAUCUUUUUUAUUUGUAUUGAUUCUCCAUUUGCAAUUUCUUUGUUUGAUCUCGGUUGGCUAUCAAAGAAACUGAUCUAACUAUUUUGUUUUGAAAACUUUGUAUCAUUAGUCUAGUUCUCUAAUUAUCAAAAUUCAUCUAUAAGAGAGAGAGGAAAACAAAUUUAAAUUUGAUUUAUUUCUAAUAUUUGCUAAGCUAGUAAACUGAUAAUAAAAAAAUUUACCUAUUUUUUUAAAAGUAUUUUUCAGUUAUUUUUUUUCCUUAUAUUACAAAAAUGAGAAGUUGAGAAAGAAGUCUAUACUUCCAUUUGUGUUCAAUUUUAAUUAGCCAAAAAAAAUUAGUUUUGGUAUAAAUACAAAAAUCGUAAAUAAAUUAAUUCUUGGGCUUAGUAUUUCUUAAAUGCCAUAUGUCUAAAUUUCCUAUAAUAUUAGAAAAAGGUUAAAUUAGGAGAGAACCCGAAUCCUAAAAGGAUUAUAAAAGAAAAAAAAUCAUAUAUGAGGUUUUUAAGAGUUUUUUGUUUGAAUGAUGCCACCUAAAUUCGAAUCUUGGAUGGGUAGAGGACUAAAAAGUUAAUUUGAGUUUUAUUGACUUUACCUUAAAAUUUGAAAAAACAAAAAGAAAAGAAACACUAAAUUUAACUUAAAGAAUUUAUGAAGUGUGAAGCUCUAAAUAUUAGAAGUACUUCGAAAACUGAUUUAAAUGUCGUGAGGCUAGGUUUUGAUAACACAACAAUGGAGAAAAUAUAGUGUAAAAUACAAGCAUUGCAAAGUUGCCACAACAAUUAUCGGAGGUAAUUCAAAAGCUCUGUUAUUUUAAUAGUUCUUUUCCCUCCAAAUCUCGAUGUAUCUAUACGUGCUUUUGAAUUAUGAAGGCUUUUGAAUUAUGAAGAUUGGAAAAGUCAACAACAAUAUAACUCGCUUUUGCAUUUGUUGUGCUCUGAUGCCACUCGUUCUCUAACACCAAUUGUUGUGUGCGGAAUGCGCAAUCAAGCGCAACAAAUAAUCACAAAAAAAUAAAGAAUAUAAGAAUUUAAUGUGGUUCACCAAUUAUGCCUACGUAGAAGCAAGAUAAAAUAAUUGAAUUGCUAAUAAUUAUUAGAGUAUAAAAAAUGAGUAAAGAAACCUCCCUUAUGAGAACCUAAAUACACCUAGUACUCUUGCAUACACUUAAAAGGAAAACCUCUCAAUUACUCACCUCUCCAAUUGUAGAAUUGUUUUUCUCAAAUUUUUUGGGGUGAUAUGGAAUGAAGAAAUGUCCUCUAUUUAUAAGAUUCAAGCUUGCACUAUUGCACCUAAUCCUUUAAUUGCAUUUCAACAAUCUUGGGCACCUUCAAAUGCAUUUUAACAAUUUCAGGCACCGAUUUGGAAAAUCUUUUAAUUUUGUCCAAAAAGUCUUCAUAAUUUUCGAAAAGUCUUCAUGCCUUCUUUUAAUUUUAACAAAUCUCCACAUCGGUAAAAAUUUUAUAAAAAUCUUAGCCAACUACUAGUGGAUCAUGAUACUUCAUUCCAAAAAAUAGUUGUAUCUUUGUGACUGCCUACCUACACAAAAUCAGGUAUCAAGCCAACUGUAGUUUAAAAAUUUCCCAAACUCAACAUGUUCGAAGGAUUUGAAUUAGUUUUAAGUAAUGUUGAAAACUUAAAUCUAUAAAUCACCUUUGUCAACAUAUCUACUGGAUUAUUUUUAAUAUCAAUCUUCUUAAACAACACAACACCACUCUCGAUAACCUCUCUCACAUAAUGAUAUUUCCUAUCCGUAUGUUUUGUUCGAGCUUGAUACAUUUAGUUCUUCGCAAUAUCACGCUUUGAUUAUUACAAAAGACCUCAAUGUUCUCAUAAAUUACUCUCAAAUCACCUAACAAGCUUUUGAACCAAAUAGUUUCCUUUGUAGCCUUUGUUGCUGCUAUUUUCUUUGCUUCCGUAGUAGAAAGAGUAAUUUUCGAUUGUAGAACUGACCUCAAACUAAUCGAAUCUUUACUUGAUUCAAAUAUGUAGCUCGUUGUUGCUCUUCGCUUGUCAAGUUCUCCUGCAAAAUCAGAAUAAUAAUACCUAACACAUUGUUGACUACAAUAUUUUUUUUAACAAUAAUCCAAAAUUAAUUGUCCCAUACAAAUAUUAGUUAAUCCACUUUACCGUAAGACAAUGGCUUUUACCUAGAUUAUGCAUGUAUUGACUAAUUAUACUCACGACUUGAGAUAUGUCAGGCCUUUUACAUAGCAUAGCAUACAUAAGACUACCUAAAUCACUAGCAUAUGGAACAUGAGCCAUGUAGUCACAUCUUCUUGAGAAAGAGGACAUGAAGAAGAGCUCAAUUUGAAAUGAGGAGCUAGAAGAGUAGAAACUAGUUUGGUUUUGUCAUUCAUAUCAAACUUUUCUAGCCACUUCUUCAAAUAAGACUUUUGAGCUAACCAUAUGCUUCCAUUCCUUUUGUCUCUACGAAUGUCCAUCUGAAGUAUUCUUUGUGGAUCAUCUAAGUCUUUCAUCUCGAACUUAGAAGCCAACUGUUUUUUUAAUCUUUCAAUCUCACUUCUAUUCUUCGAAACUAUAAGUAUAUCAUCGACAUAGAAUUAUAGAUAGAUGAAAAUUUUAUCUUAUAGUCUUUUAAAAUAAACACAGUGAUCUUGUUCACUUCUAGUGAAUUUCUGUCCUUGUAUAAAUUGAUCAAAUUUCUUGUACUACUGUCUUGGUAAUUAUUUCAAUUCGUAUAAAGAUUUAAUCAAUCUACACACUUAGUUCUUUUUUCCAGUAACUUUAAAAUCACUAGCUUGAGUCAUAUAAAUUUACUCCUUUAAAUCUCCAUAUAAGAAUGUUGUCUUAACAUCCAAUUAAGACAACUCUAAUUUAUAUUCAGCUAUCAAGGCAAGUAGGUUACGAAUGGAAUUAUGUUUACAACUAGAGAGAAUAUUUUAUUAUAGUCAUUACUUUCUUUCUGAGCAAAAUCUUUUACUACGACCCUUGUCUUGUAUCAAAGAGUUGUUUGAUUUGGAGAAUCUUGCUUCUUGAUGUAGAAUUAUUUAUUGCCAAUAACCUUUUCCUCUUUAGGUAACUUUACAAUUUCCUAAGUCUGACUAAUUUUCACUAACUAUUUUCACUACUAUAUAUAGUUUCAUUGAAAGUGUUAUGGAUUUCAUCAUCAAUAACUAGAAGUGCAUAACUAUUGUCAUGUCUUUUAUAAGCUAUCUGGGUUUCUUUAUCGCUCUUUUUAGUCUCCUUAUUGCUAUAGUUUCAUUUUCAUGUUCUACAUCUUCAGUUAUUUCUUCCUCUUGUGGGACAUCAACAAAAAUGACUUCUCCUUCAAAUCUUGAAGUCACCUCUAAAGUUGAACUCUUUUCUGAUGUAGAAAUUGGUAUAAUUAGAGUUGCAUCAAACUCUACCUACUGCAAUAUCUCAUUGGUCUUGUUCUCUACCUGUUGAGAACUUGAAGCCUUUAACAUGGAAGCUUAAUCAAAAGUAAUAUCUCUGCUAUACAUAAAUCUUUUAUUUUUGAGAUCGCAAAGCCUAAAACCUUUAACUCUACUUUGAAGCCCACAAAGAUAGUUUUUCUUGCAUGAGGAUCGAGCUUAGCAUUCUUUACAAGUUACAAAACUGGAUAUCCAAAUGUAUUAAUGGAGCCAUAUUCUUAUGCAUGCUUUCCUAACUACAUUUCCAUAAGUGCUUUCCUUCUAAUUACAGCAAAAGGCAACUAGUUUGUUAAGUGACUUGCGUAGCUUAUUGCCUCAGCCCAAAACAUUUUAUCUAAACUAGCAUUAGAUAAUAUGCACCGUACUUUCUCUUGAAAAGUAUGAUUCAUACGCUCAGUCACACUGUUCCUUUGAAAAGUAUAUUUCACUAUGAAAUGUGUUUUUGUACCCUCACUUUGGCAUACUUGCAAGAAUGGAUCAGAAGUAUAUUUAUCCCUAUUAUCAAAUCAUAAUACUUUGAUCUUUCUAUCAAUUUGAGUCUUCACUAAUUUCUUUCAUUUCACAAAAAUCUCUAAAACAACAUCCUUUGCUUACAUGUACACCUACACAUGUUUAGAGAAAUUAUAUAGACAUGAAAAAAAUAAUGGCUUUCACUAAUUGAUGCAAUCUUUCAAAGAUCUAAUGAUUAUCGUGAUUAGUCAUUCCAAACUUGACCUUUGUUUUCUUACCUGCAAAACAAAGCUCACAGAUUUCAUUUUAUAAGUAUUGGCACAUUUCAAAAGUCCAUGAGUUAUCAGAGUUAGCAGAGACUUUUCUUUAGUAUGUCCUAGUCAUACAUGAUAUAGCUUGGUGGUGUCAUUAUGGGCCUUGAAAAUAUUAACUAGUUAUAUUUCAUUUCAAGUAGUACAAAUUAUGACGCCACACUCUUGCAGAAUCACUAUAGCCCUAUAUGUGAAUUUCAUUGUGCUAUUUCGAAUGGUAACCUUGUAGCCUUUAGCUUCCAAAAUACCUAUAGAAAUUAGAUUUUUCUUUAAUACUAGAACAUAUCUAACUUUUUUUAGUUCUCUGACUAUUUCAUUAAACAUCUUGAGCUGAAUUGUUCCUAUCAUCAUUGUGCAACAAGGUUAAUAAUUUCCUAGCAUAGCUGUAUCAGAUUCUAAAUUUCAAAAAUCUAUAAACCAUUCUUUUAUGGGACACGAAUGAUAAGUUGCUUCCGUAUCAAAUAUCCACCCGCUCGAAAAUGUUGUAGGUGUAACGAUUAGUUAAUAGUUAGAGUUUUCAUUUUUAGGUGUCAUAUAUUCUGUUAUUGUUCUCUUCAUAUCUCUAUUAUAAGCUUUUGGAUAAUCUUUCCUCCAAUAGUCUCUGUCAUGAUAAAAGGCACACUCAUCUUGAGCUAUAUUUUUACUUUUUGAUUUGGACUAAGAAUCCUUUUUAUUGCGUUUUUUCUUUUUCUCUAUCGUUCUUUCUUUGGCUAAUAAAGUUUUAGACGAUGCUCUUUCGAAACGUUUAUCAUUAUUCUGAAUUGGUCAAUGCUAUGCUAAACAUGUUAAAAGAUUGUCACGCUUUUAUCAUAUAAUGACGUAGUCAUAAAAUGGUUAUAUUCUUUUGAAAGUGAAUGUAGUAGAAUCAUAGUCUUGACUUCAUCCUUAAUAUUUUCAUCAAGAUUCUUUAGAUUUGCAAGCAACUUCUCAAAUCUUGAGAAAUGGUCAGGCACUGACACCCACCCCAAGCUUCUUUUGAAAGCCAUAUGCAUGGCUGAUUGCAUGAAGGCGAUUUUCAGGACUUUUCAGUAAGUAAUUCUCCUUCAAUGUACACUACAAAGUCGUCGCACACUCUUUAUCUUUCACCAAAUAUCCUUGAUUAAGCAAGAUAUAAUCUAACCACAAGCUUUCCUAUUUAUACGAUCCCAAGUUUCUUUGUCAUACAAAUGUCUUUUAUUUUUCAAAACAACAUCAAGAUCAGUUGAAUAAGGGCAUCCAUAACUUCACACCUUCACAUGCCGAAGUUGAUUUUCCUAUCAAACUUUUCAACAUCAAUCUUCUGAUCUCCUAUAAUAGGUAUUAAAUGGUAAUGUGAUAAGUUUUGCCUCCCACUUAAAGUAUCUCCUAGAAUAGUUUGGGUUGAUCUUUCCUCACUUUUGUAAGUUUCACCUUUCACCGUUUUCUUAAUAAACUAUUUCUAUUUGAGAGAUCAGUACAUAUGAAAAAUGUACUAAGAAAGUUCUCAGAGAAAACUGGAGGGAUCAUGCCAAUCCUACUUAAAACUUAAACUUUUUAAGCUCUUAUCGCUUUUGUAACAGAAGUUUCUUAGACAUGUGUAAAUCCACACCACUACACCGGCUAUUGAUCCUCCCAAGUACAAAUUGUUGGCUCUAUUGUAUUCGUGAACAGUACUGUAUAUAUGAACAAUAUUGUCUACCCUAAGUACGAACCAUUGGCUCUAAUACCACUUGUUGUGCUCUGAUAUCAUUGUUGUGCAUAAAAUGUGGAAUCAAGUGCACCAAAUAAUCACAAGAAAAAAAAGGACAUAAUAUUUAACGUGGUUUGGCAAUUAUGCUAAUGUCCACAGAAGCAAGAGAAAAUAAUUGAAUUACUAACAAUUAUUAGCGUCAAAUAUUUGAGUAAAGAAACUUCACUUCCUGAAGCCCAAAUACACCAGUGCUCUCACUCACACUUAAAAGAAAAAUCUCUCAAUUUCCCACACUCUAAUUGCUCACUGUCAAUUAUUCUUCAUUUAAAUUAUUUUUCUCAAAAUUUUUGGGAUGAGAUGGAAUGAAGAAAUACCUCUAUUUAUAGGUUGUAUUAUUGUGCAUAACCCUUUAAUUGCAUUUCAACACUUUCAGCCACUAAUUUAAAACACUCUUUAAUUUCAUCCAAAAGAUCUUCAUGAUUUUGCAAAGUCUUCAUGCCUUUUUUUUUUUUAACAACAUUAUCUUUGUGGACCUUUGUUUGGAUUUGAGGAUUGAAGUGAUUUCUUACAAAAACAAGUUAAAAUGUAUUCCAAAAAAACAUCUUUGAAGCAUUUUUCUAGAAAGUGCAUUGAUAGUGUUUAUUAUGCAAAGAAGUGCUUUCUUUUGAGCAAAUAUAAAGUGCUCCUUUGAAAAGUACGUGCAGUAAUAAUAAUAAUAAUGAUAAAUGUUAAUAAUGAUAAUAUUAAUAAAAAUAAUAAUAACAAUAAUUAAUAAUAACUAAAAUAAAAAAGUUAAUAAAAUUUAAUAAUAAUUAUAAUAACAACAAUAAGGAUAAUAUUGUUAAUAAUGAUAAAUUAUUUAUUUUUAUUAAUUAUUAUUUUUAUCAUUAUUUUUAUUAUUAAUAAUGAUAAUAUUAAUGAAAAUAAUAAUAAUAAUAAUUAAUAAUAACUAAAAUAAUAAAGUUAAUAAAAUUUAAUAAUAAUAAUUAUUAUUAUUAUUAAUGAAAUUUAAAAUAAUAAAAUUAUUUGUGAUUUUAACAAGGGUAAUUUAGGAAAUAUGAAAAAAUUAGAAGGAUAGAAAAGUAAAUUUAUGUUUCAUUUCCAUUCCCAUAUUUUCAUUCCCAACCCCUCCAUGGGAAUGAGAUUCACAUUCCUUAUUCCCAAAUUAUGUGGAACCCACACAUUUUAUUCCCAUUCCCAAAUUACAUUUUACCAAAUAAACAUAGAUUUUAUUCCAAUUCCCCAAACCCACAAGUAAACACACUAUUAGAGUCAUGUUUUUUACAUGUUAUUAUGAUUAUAAUUGUUUAAAUCAUUAGGAAAUGGAUUCCUGAUAGUUAUAUGCUUUGAAACAUUUAAUUUGGUGUUGGUAAAUCAUAAAUAAAGUCGGGUCUGUAAAAUGAGUCAUUCAGGUUGAAAUAUGAAUAGUUAAGACUCGGCUGGAGGUUGAAGACGAUGUUGGAUGACAUGUCGUUUAAUAUAGAUGAACGACACGACAUGCCAUAUUUUCAAUUGCCUCACCAACGACAGUCGGUUAUUAGUUAAGGACAUGUCGUUUUAUUUAAGAAUAUAAAGACUACUUGUCGUCCGAAUGAUGUAUGCGACGAUAUGUCAUCCAUUUGUUUUAUUUAUGUACGACUUGUCAUCUACGUUCGUAAAUGGUAAAUGACAUGUCAGUUUAUGUCGGCUCAACUUUGUGAAUUUAAACAUUCAGAACAUAAAUUUAGGGUGAUUUGUUGUAUUUGACUUAAUGUUAUAAUAAUGGCAUAUUAAAAUUUGUAUGCUUUAAUUUUAUUUAGUUGUUGAUGCAUGCAAUUUUGAAUGAAUAAUUAUGAUGUUUUAAAAAAAUGUCAAGUGAUCUAAUAUGAUUUUAAUUAAUUAAGGAGUAGCCACAACAUUCUUAAUUAUGCAAAAUUAUAUAUUGAGUAUUUUUAGAUCACAUAUAAUAUAACGACAUUAAUUGUGAUUAAACGUAUUUAAUAUAAUGUAUUUUUCCCACAUGAAUUUAUGUUAUAUUUGUAUGUUUAAUUAAGAUAAAAUAUCAAACUAUUUUCUUAAUACACCCACAUGAAUUAAGCAUUUGAAUAUAGUUUGAUAGUUUGAUCAUUGAGAUAUAUUUGAAUCUAUUUGAAUUAGAACUUUAGCCCACAUGCAAGUUUUAUGUCAUUUGAUUCAUAUUUUUAACAUGAUUUACAUUGGUAAAACAUGAUAGCUCUAUAUUGGCCUAAAUUCAUAAUAUAAGCAUGUGUUUUAAUUUAAUGCAGUUGUACAACCUGCGAGUUUUUCUGAAAUUUUGCUAAUCAAGUUUUUCGAUCGACGAUUCAAGAAAAAACUAAAAACCAAGAACUCGAUUCCUUCCAAUUUAUUAACUCUAUUGCGAAGUUGGGACUUGAGAGCUCAAUGUAAGCGUCUUUAUAUAAGGACAUAUAUCUAACUAGUCAAGGAAACAAUAAAACGACUUAAAUAAUGGGUUUACUAAACUUAUAUAUUUUCUCAAAUUAGGGAAACGAUUAAACAAUAUAUCUUCAAAUUUAAUUUUUUUCUAAAUUUUAUUAGAGAUUUUGACACAUGCUAUUUAAAAGAUUCUAUGGUGAGGAUUUAACAUUUAUAAUUUUAUAUUAAUAAGAUAUUUUUUUAAUUUUUGUUAAUUAAUUUAAUCUUACCUACCACCAUCAUAUAUUUCUAUAGCAUAAUGACUUUUUAUCACUUGAUGUAUGAGUUUCUACCACAGUCCUCUUAUAUAUAUUUUAGCCAGAUGCCAAAAAAACCAUAACGUAUUUAGAACUAACUAAAAUUACUGACUAAACCAUAACGUAUUUAAAACUAAUUAAAAUUACUGACUAACGGAAGUUAACUCCAUAUUAGUCACUUCUCAAAUUCUCAUGACAAACGGCACUUCUACUUCAUGCAUAUGUCAAUUAAACUUUAGUAAUAAAUUAUAGCAGAGAAAACUAUCAACAUGACAUUAUUUCAAGAAAAGAAAAAAAAUCUGAGCGCUUAGAUUAUUAUUCUUAAUUUCUUAUUCUUCUUAUCUUUUUUAUUUGUAUUGAUUCUCCAUUUGCAAUUUCUUUGUUUGAUCUCGGUUGGCUAUCAAAGAAACUGAUCUAACUAUUUUGUUUUGAAAACUUUGUAUCAUUAGUCUAGUUCUCUAAUUAUCAAAAUUCAUCUAUAAGAGAGAGAGGAAAACAAAUUUAAAUUUGAUUUAUUUCUAAUAUUUGCUAAGCUAGUAAACUGAUAAUAAAAAAAUUUACCUAUUUUUUUAAAAGUAUUUUUCAGUUAUUUUUUUUCCUUAUAUUACAAAAAUGAGAAGUUGAGAAAGAAGUCUAUACUUCCAUUUGUGUUCAAUUUUAAUUAGCCAAAAAAAAUUAGUUUUGGUAUAAAUACAAAAAUCGUAAAUAAAUUAAUUCUUGGGCUUAGUAUUUCUUAAAUGCCAUAUGUCUAAAUUUCCUAUAAUAUUAGAAAAAGGUUAAAUUAGGAGAGAACCCGAAUCCUAAAAGGAUUAUAAAAGAAAAAAAAUCAUAUAUGAGGUUUUUAAGAGUUUUUUGUUUGAAUGAUGCCACCUAAAUUCGAAUCUUGGAUGGGUAGAGGACUAAAAAGUUAAUUUGAGUUUUAUUGACUUUACCUUAAAAUUUGAAAAAACAAAAAGAAAAGAAACACUAAAUUUAACUUAAAGAAUUUAUGAAGUGUGAAGCUCUAAAUAUUAGAAGUACUUCGAAAACUGAUUUAAAUGUCGUGAGGCUAGGUUUUGAUAACACAACAAUGGAGAAAAUAUAGUGUAAAAUACAAGCAUUGCAAAGUUGCCACAACAAUUAUCGGAGGUAAUUCAAAAGCUCUGUUAUUUUAAUAGUUCUUUUCCCUCCAAAUCUCGAUGUAUCUAUACGUGCUUUUGAAUUAUGAAGGCUUUUGAAUUAUGAAGAUUGGAAAAGUCAACAACAAUAUAACUCGCUUUUGCAUUUGUUGUGCUCUGAUGCCACUCGUUCUCUAACACCAAUUGUUGUGUGCGGAAUGCGCAAUCAAGCGCAACAAAUAAUCACAAAAAAAUAAAGAAUAUAAGAAUUUAAUGUGGUUCACCAAUUAUGCCUACGUAGAAGCAAGAUAAAAUAAUUGAAUUGCUAAUAAUUAUUAGAGUAUAAAAAAUGAGUAAAGAAACCUCCCUUAUGAGAACCUAAAUACACCUAGUACUCUUGCAUACACUUAAAAGGAAAACCUCUCAAUUACUCACCUCUCCAAUUGUAGAAUUGUUUUUCUCAAAUUUUUUGGGGUGAUAUGGAAUGAAGAAAUGUCCUCUAUUUAUAAGAUUCAAGCUUGCACUAUUGCACCUAAUCCUUUAAUUGCAUUUCAACAAUCUUGGGCACCUUCAAAUGCAUUUUAACAAUUUCAGGCACCGAUUUGGAAAAUCUUUUAAUUUUGUCCAAAAAGUCUUCAUAAUUUUCGAAAAGUCUUCAUGCCUUCUUUUAAUUUUAACAAAUCUCCACAUCGGUAAAAAUUUUAUAAAAAUCUUAGCCAACUACUAGUGGAUCAUGAUACUUCAUUCCAAAAAAUAGUUGUAUCUUUGUGACUGCCUACCUACACAAAAUCAGGUAUCAAGCCAACUGUAGUUUAAAAAUUUCCCAAACUCAACAUGUUCGAAGGAUUUGAAUUAGUUUUAAGUAAUGUUGAAAACUUAAAUCUAUAAAUCACCUUUGUCAACAUAUCUACUGGAUUAUUUUUAAUAUCAAUCUUCUUAAACAACACAACACCACUCUCGAUAACCUCUCUCACAUAAUGAUAUUUCCUAUCCGUAUGUUUUGUUCGAGCUUGAUACAUUUAGUUCUUCGCAAUAUCACGCUUUGAUUAUUACAAAAGACCUCAAUGUUCUCAUAAAUUACUCUCAAAUCACCUAACAAGCUUUUGAACCAAAUAGUUUCCUUUGUAGCCUUUGUUGCUGCUAUUUUCUUUGCUUCCGUAGUAGAAAGAGUAAUUUUCGAUUGUAGAACUGACCUCAAACUAAUCGAAUCUUUACUUGAUUCAAAUAUGUAGCUCGUUGUUGCUCUUCGCUUGUCAAGUUCUCCUGCAAAAUCAGAAUAAUAAUACCUAACACAUUGUUGACUACAAUAUUUUUUUUAACAAUAAUCCAAAAUUAAUUGUCCCAUACAAAUAUUAGUUAAUCCACUUUACCGUAAGACAAUGGCUUUUACCUAGAUUAUGCAUGUAUUGACUAAUUAUACUCACGACUUGAGAUAUGUCAGGCCUUUUACAUAGCAUAGCAUACAUAAGACUACCUAAAUCACUAGCAUAUGGAACAUGAGCCAUGUAGUCACAUCUUCUUGAGAAAGAGGACAUGAAGAAGAGCUCAAUUUGAAAUGAGGAGCUAGAAGAGUAGAAACUAGUUUGGUUUUGUCAUUCAUAUCAAACUUUUCUAGCCACUUCUUCAAAUAAGACUUUUGAGCUAACCAUAUGCUUCCAUUCCUUUUGUCUCUACGAAUGUCCAUCUGAAGUAUUCUUUGUGGAUCAUCUAAGUCUUUCAUCUCGAACUUAGAAGCCAACUGUUUUUUUAAUCUUUCAAUCUCACUUCUAUUCUUCGAAACUAUAAGUAUAUCAUCGACAUAGAAUUAUAGAUAGAUGAAAAUUUUAUCUUAUAGUCUUUUAAAAUAAACACAGUGAUCUUGUUCACUUCUAGUGAAUUUCUGUCCUUGUAUAAAUUGAUCAAAUUUCUUGUACUACUGUCUUGGUAAUUAUUUCAAUUCGUAUAAAGAUUUAAUCAAUCUACACACUUAGUUCUUUUUUCCAGUAACUUUAAAAUCACUAGCUUGAGUCAUAUAAAUUUACUCCUUUAAAUCUCCAUAUAAGAAUGUUGUCUUAACAUCCAAUUAAGACAACUCUAAUUUAUAUUCAGCUAUCAAGGCAAGUAGGUUACGAAUGGAAUUAUGUUUACAACUAGAGAGAAUAUUUUAUUAUAGUCAUUACUUUCUUUCUGAGCAAAAUCUUUUACUACGACCCUUGUCUUGUAUCAAAGAGUUGUUUGAUUUGGAGAAUCUUGCUUCUUGAUGUAGAAUUAUUUAUUGCCAAUAACCUUUUCCUCUUUAGGUAACUUUACAAUUUCCUAAGUCUGACUAAUUUUCACUAACUAUUUUCACUACUAUAUAUAGUUUCAUUGAAAGUGUUAUGGAUUUCAUCAUCAAUAACUAGAAGUGCAUAACUAUUGUCAUGUCUUUUAUAAGCUAUCUGGGUUUCUUUAUCGCUCUUUUUAGUCUCCUUAUUGCUAUAGUUUCAUUUUCAUGUUCUACAUCUUCAGUUAUUUCUUCCUCUUGUGGGACAUCAACAAAAAUGACUUCUCCUUCAAAUCUUGAAGUCACCUCUAAAGUUGAACUCUUUUCUGAUGUAGAAAUUGGUAUAAUUAGAGUUGCAUCAAACUCUACCUACUGCAAUAUCUCAUUGGUCUUGUUCUCUACCUGUUGAGAACUUGAAGCCUUUAACAUGGAAGCUUAAUCAAAAGUAAUAUCUCUGCUAUACAUAAAUCUUUUAUUUUUGAGAUCGCAAAGCCUAAAACCUUUAACUCUACUUUGAAGCCCACAAAGAUAGUUUUUCUUGCAUGAGGAUCGAGCUUAGCAUUCUUUACAAGUUACAAAACUGGAUAUCCAAAUGUAUUAAUGGAGCCAUAUUCUUAUGCAUGCUUUCCUAACUACAUUUCCAUAAGUGCUUUCCUUCUAAUUACAGCAAAAGGCAACUAGUUUGUUAAGUGACUUGCGUAGCUUAUUGCCUCAGCCCAAAACAUUUUAUCUAAACUAGCAUUAGAUAAUAUGCACCGUACUUUCUCUUGAAAAGUAUGAUUCAUACGCUCAGUCACACUGUUCCUUUGAAAAGUAUAUUUCACUAUGAAAUGUGUUUUUGUACCCUCACUUUGGCAUACUUGCAAGAAUGGAUCAGAAGUAUAUUUAUCCCUAUUAUCAAAUCAUAAUACUUUGAUCUUUCUAUCAAUUUGAGUCUUCACUAAUUUCUUUCAUUUCACAAAAAUCUCUAAAACAACAUCCUUUGCUUACAUGUACACCUACACAUGUUUAGAGAAAUUAUAUAGACAUGAAAAAAAUAAUGGCUUUCACUAAUUGAUGCAAUCUUUCAAAGAUCUAAUGAUUAUCGUGAUUAGUCAUUCCAAACUUGACCUUUGUUUUCUUACCUGCAAAACAAAGCUCACAGAUUUCAUUUUAUAAGUAUUGGCACAUUUCAAAAGUCCAUGAGUUAUCAGAGUUAGCAGAGACUUUUCUUUAGUAUGUCCUAGUCAUACAUGAUAUAGCUUGGUGGUGUCAUUAUGGGCCUUGAAAAUAUUAACUAGUUAUAUUUCAUUUCAAGUAGUACAAAUUAUGACGCCACACUCUUGCAGAAUCACUAUAGCCCUAUAUGUGAAUUUCAUUGUGCUAUUUCGAAUGGUAACCUUGUAGCCUUUAGCUUCCAAAAUACCUAUAGAAAUUAGAUUUUUCUUUAAUACUAGAACAUAUCUAACUUUUUUUAGUUCUCUGACUAUUUCAUUAAACAUCUUGAGCUGAAUUGUUCCUAUCAUCAUUGUGCAACAAGGUUAAUAAUUUCCUAGCAUAGCUGUAUCAGAUUCUAAAUUUCAAAAAUCUAUAAACCAUUCUUUUAUGGGACACGAAUGAUAAGUUGCUUCCGUAUCAAAUAUCCACCCGCUCGAAAAUGUUGUAGGUGUAACGAUUAGUUAAUAGUUAGAGUUUUCAUUUUUAGGUGUCAUAUAUUCUGUUAUUGUUCUCUUCAUAUCUCUAUUAUAAGCUUUUGGAUAAUCUUUCCUCCAAUAGUCUCUGUCAUGAUAAAAGGCACACUCAUCUUGAGCUAUAUUUUUACUUUUUGAUUUGGACUAAGAAUCCUUUUUAUUGCGUUUUUUCUUUUUCUCUAUCGUUCUUUCUUUGGCUAAUAAAGUUUUAGACGAUGCUCUUUCGAAACGUUUAUCAUUAUUCUGAAUUGGUCAAUGCUAUGCUAAACAUGUUAAAAGAUUGUCACGCUUUUAUCAUAUAAUGACGUAGUCAUAAAAUGGUUAUAUUCUUUUGAAAGUGAAUGUAGUAGAAUCAUAGUCUUGACUUCAUCCUUAAUAUUUUCAUCAAGAUUCUUUAGAUUUGCAAGCAACUUCUCAAAUCUUGAGAAAUGGUCAGGCACUGACACCCACCCCAAGCUUCUUUUGAAAGCCAUAUGCAUGGCUGAUUGCAUGAAGGCGAUUUUCAGGACUUUUCAGUAAGUAAUUCUCCUUCAAUGUACACUACAAAGUCGUCGCACACUCUUUAUCUUUCACCAAAUAUCCUUGAUUAAGCAAGAUAUAAUCUAACCACAAGCUUUCCUAUUUAUACGAUCCCAAGUUUCUUUGUCAUACAAAUGUCUUUUAUUUUUCAAAACAACAUCAAGAUCAGUUGAAUAAGGGCAUCCAUAACUUCACACCUUCACAUGCCGAAGUUGAUUUUCCUAUCAAACUUUUCAACAUCAAUCUUCUGAUCUCCUAUAAUAGGUAUUAAAUGGUAAUGUGAUAAGUUUUGCCUCCCACUUAAAGUAUCUCCUAGAAUAGUUUGGGUUGAUCUUUCCUCACUUUUGUAAGUUUCACCUUUCACCGUUUUCUUAAUAAACUAUUUCUAUUUGAGAGAUCAGUACAUAUGAAAAAUGUACUAAGAAAGUUCUCAGAGAAAACUGGAGGGAUCAUGCCAAUCCUACUUAAAACUUAAACUUUUUAAGCUCUUAUCGCUUUUGUAACAGAAGUUUCUUAGACAUGUGUAAAUCCACACCACUACACCGGCUAUUGAUCCUCCCAAGUACAAAUUGUUGGCUCUAUUGUAUUCGUGAACAGUACUGUAUAUAUGAACAAUAUUGUCUACCCUAAGUACGAACCAUUGGCUCUAAUACCACUUGUUGUGCUCUGAUAUCAUUGUUGUGCAUAAAAUGUGGAAUCAAGUGCACCAAAUAAUCACAAGAAAAAAAAGGACAUAAUAUUUAACGUGGUUUGGCAAUUAUGCUAAUGUCCACAGAAGCAAGAGAAAAUAAUUGAAUUACUAACAAUUAUUAGCGUCAAAUAUUUGAGUAAAGAAACUUCACUUCCUGAAGCCCAAAUACACCAGUGCUCUCACUCACACUUAAAAGAAAAAUCUCUCAAUUUCCCACACUCUAAUUGCUCACUGUCAAUUAUUCUUCAUUUAAAUUAUUUUUCUCAAAAUUUUUGGGAUGAGAUGGAAUGAAGAAAUACCUCUAUUUAUAGGUUGUAUUAUUGUGCAUAACCCUUUAAUUGCAUUUCAACACUUUCAGCCACUAAUUUAAAACACUCUUUAAUUUCAUCCAAAAGAUCUUCAUGAUUUUGCAAAGUCUUCAUGCCUUUUUUUUUUUUAACAACAUUAUCUUUGUGGACCUUUGUUUGGAUUUGAGGAUUGAAGUGAUUUCUUACAAAAACAAGUUAAAAUGUAUUCCAAAAAAACAUCUUUGAAGCAUUUUUCUAGAAAGUGCAUUGAUAGUGUUUAUUAUGCAAAGAAGUGCUUUCUUUUGAGCAAAUAUAAAGUGCUCCUUUGAAAAGUACGUGACUUAAUAAUAAUAAUAAUGAUAAAUGUUAAUAAUGAUAAUAUUAAUAAAAAUAAUAAUAAUAAUAAUUAAUAAUAACUAGAAUAACAAAGUUAAUAAAAUUUAAUAAUAAUAAUAACAACAACAAUAAUAAGGAUAAUAUAGUUAAUAAUGAUAAAUUAAUUAUUUUUAUUAAUUAUUAUUUUUAUCAUUAUUUUUAUUAUUAAUAAUGAUAAUAUUAAUGAAAAUAAUAAUAAUAAUAAUUAAUAAUAACUAAAAUAAUAAAGUUAAUAAAAUUUAAUAAUAAUAAUUAUUAUUAUUAUUAAUGAAAUUUAAAAUAAUAAAAUUAUUUGUGAUUUUAACAAGGGUAAUUUAGGAAAUAUGAAAAAAUUAGAAGGAUAGAAAAGUAAAUUUAUGUUUCAUUUCCAUUCCCAUAUUUUCAUUCCCAACCCCUCCAUGGGAAUGAGAUUCACAUUCCUUAUUCCCAAAUUAUGUGGAACCCACACAUUUUAUUCCCAUUCCCAAAUUACAUUUUACCAAAUAAACAUAGAUUUUAUUCCAAUUCCCCAAACCCACAAGUAAACACACUAUUAGAGUCAUGUUUUUUACAUGUUAUUAUGAUUAUAAUUGUUUAAAUCAUUAGGAAAUGGAUUCCUGAUAGUUAUAUGCUUUGAAACAUUUAAUUUGGUGUUGGUAAAUCAUAAAUAAAGUCGGGUCUGUAAAAUGAGUCAUUCAGGUUGAAAUAUGAAUAGUUAAGACUCGGCUGGAGGUUGAAGACGAUGUUGGAUGACAUGUCGUUUAAUAUAGAUGAACGACACGACAUGCCAUAUUUUCAAUUGCCUCACCAACGACAGUCGGUUAUUAGUUAAGGACAUGUCGUUUUAUUUAAGAAUAUAAAGACUACUUGUCGUCCGAAUGAUGUAUGCGACGAUAUGUCAUCCAUUUGUUUUAUUUAUGUACGACUUGUCAUCUACGUUCGUAAAUGGUAAAUGACAUGUCAGUUUAUGUCGGCUCAACUUUGUGAAUUUAAACAUUCAGAACAUAAAUUUAGGGUGAUUUGUUGUAUUUGACUUAAUGUUAUAAUAAUGGCAUAUUAAAAUUUGUAUGCUUUAAUUUUAUUUAGUUGUUGAUGCAUGCAAUUUUGAAUGAAUAAUUAUGAUGUUUUAAAAAAAUGUCAAGUGAUCUAAUAUGAUUUUAAUUAAUUAAGGAGUAGCCACAACAUUCUUAAUUAUGCAAAAUUAUAUAUUGAGUAUUUUUAGAUCACAUAUAAUAUAACGACAUUAAUUGUGAUUAAACGUAUUUAAUAUAAUGUAUUUUUCCCACAUGAAUUUAUGUUAUAUUUGUAUGUUUAAUUAAGAUAAAAUAUCAAACUAUUUUCUUAAUACACCCACAUGAAUUAAGCAUUUGAAUAUAGUUUGAUAGUUUGAUCAUUGAGAUAUAUUUGAAUCUAUUUGAAUUAGAACUUUAGCCCACAUGCAAGUUUUAUGUCAUUUGAUUCAUAUUUUUAACAUGAUUUACAUUGGUAAAACAUGAUAGCUCUAUAUUGGCCUAAAUUCAUAAUAUAAGCAUGUGUUUUAAUUUAAUGCAGUUGUACAACCUGCGAGUUUUUCUGAAAUUUAGUGUGAUAUUCCCGAGUUAAAUGGUGAUAAUUAUAAAGUUUGGAAGGAGAGAAUUCUUCUUCAUUUAGGGUGGAUGGAUAUUGAUUAUGCUAUUCAAAAAGACAAACCACUUAUUGAUGAUAACAACACUGAAGUCGAUAUUGCUCUUUAUGACAAAUGGGAGCGAUCUAAUCGCCUCAGUGUGAUGUUCAUAAAGACCAAAAUCUCUACUGUUAUUCAUGGUUCUGUUGAUCAACAUAAUGAUGCCCAGGCAUUACUGAAGGCAAUUGAUGAACAAUUUGUGACUUCAAAUAAGGCACUUGCAAGCGCCCUAAUAAUGAAAUUUGCAUCCACGAAGCUCACUAGUAUUAGAGGUGUACAUGAGCACAUCAUGCAGAUAAGGGACAUUGUGGCUCAGUUGAAACUUCUUGAUGUUGAUAUGUCCGAAACCUUUCUUGUGCAUUACAUACUGAAUACACUUCCACAGCAAUAUGGGCCUGUUAAAAUUUCUUAUAAUACACAUAAGGAUAAAUGGUCAAUUAAUGAAUUAAUGACCAUAUGUGUUCAAGAGGAGAGGAGGCUAAUAAUGGAAGUUGGUGAAGGUGCAUAUACUGUGACACAAGGAAAGAACAAGCUUCAAGCCAAAAAGAAUGGGAAAGGUAAAAUACCUCCCCAUGAAGAAAUUAAAAAACAAUCCAAGUGCUUUUUCUGCAAAAAGAAAGGACACAUGAGAAAGAUUGUCUCAAAUUUCUGAAAUGGCUUGAAAAUAAAGGUAAAUCAAUCUCUUUUGUUUGUUAUGAAUCUAAUAUGAUUGAUGUUAAUCAUGACACAUGGUGGAUUGACUCUGGUUCUACAAUCCAUGUAACAAAUACCUUGUAGGGUUUGCAAAACCUAAGGAAGCCAUUGAGAAGUGAACAAUGUAUCUUUUCUGGAAACAAGAUGCGUUCACAUGUGGAGGCAAUCAGAACAUGCAAUUUAAUUUUGAGCAGUAGUUUUGUUUUAGUUUUGGAAAAAACGUUUUAUAUUCCAAGUUUUUCUAAAAAUUUGGUUUCAGUUUCAAGGCUUGCAUCACUCAGUUUUUCCUUAAAUUUUUCAAAUAAGUUUUGUAAUUUAUAUUAUAAUUCUGAACUUCUUGGGAAUGGUACAUUAUCUGAUGGACUUUUUCGUCUUAAUUUGCAAAGCAAUACCUCUUACACUUCAAUGCAUAUUCACGCUGGUAUUAAACGAUGUGUUAUAAAUGAAAAUUCCUCUAUUUUGUGGCAUCAGAGACUUUGUCAUAUCUCCAUAGAAAGAAUCAAAAGAUUAGUAAAUAAUGGAGUACUUAAUACUUUGGAUUUUACUGAUUUUGAUACUUGUGUGGACUGUAUAAAAGGAAAACAGAUCAACAAGAGAAAUAAAGAUACUUAGAGGAGUUCUGAAAUAUUAGAAAUCAUACAUUUAGAUAUUUGUAAUCCAGACGUGGACUCAUAUGGUCAGAAAUACUUCAUCUCUUUUAUAGAUGAUUACUCACGUUAUAUGUAUCUCUACUUAACAAUAAAAAUGAAGCAUUAGAUGCUUUUAAGAUAUUUAAAGCAGAAGUAGAGAAACAAUGCGGAAAGCAAAUUAAGAUUGUGAGAACAGAUAGAGGUGGGGAAUAUUAUUGUAGAUACACUGAGAAUGGGCAAGCACCUGGUCCAUUUGUGAAGUUUCUUCAAUAGCAUGUGAUUGUUGCCUAAUACACUAUGCCUGGUUCUCUAUACCAGAAUGGUGUAGCAGAAAAAAGAAACCGAACUUUGCUGGACAUGGUGCGCAGUAUGCUUAGUAGCUCUAAGCUUCUUAAAUCCUUGUGGACUGAAGCUCUAAAUACAACUGUGUAUAUAUUAAACUGAGUUCCAACCAAGGCGGUUUCUAAAGUGCCAUUUGAGUUAUGGAAAGGUUGGAAACCGAGUUUACGACAUAUGCAUGUUUGGGGAUGCCCGUCAGAAGUGAGAAUCUACAAUCCACAAGAAAAGAAGUUGGACCCAAAGACCAUUAGUGGGUAUUUCGUUGGAUAUGCUGAAAGGUCUAAAGGUUACAGAUUUUACUGUCCAUCUCAUAGCACUAGAAUUGUGGAAUCAAGAAAUGCAAUUUUUUUUUAAAAUGACUUGAUUAGUGGGAGCGAUCUAUCUCAUAAUAUUAUUUCUGAGAAAGAUCAUUCAGAUACUCAAGCUUCCACCUCAAGUGAUAGAUUGAUUGUGAUUCGCAACACUCAUCAAGUUCAAAUAGGUGUUGUGCAACCAACUGUUUAAGACAAAGAAAGACUCAUUGGGCAACAUUGAAAGAUAUAAAGCAAGACUCGUUGCUAAAGGAUUCACUCAGAUAGAAGAAAUCGAUUACAAGGAGACUUUUCUCCUGUAUUAAAUAAAUAUUCUUUUUGUAUCAUUAUUAGUAUUAGUUGCUAAUUUUGAUUUGGAACUACAUCAAAUGGAUAUGAAAACAGCCUUUUCUGAAUGGAGAUCUAGAGGAAGAGGUUUAUAUGAAACAACCAAAAGGAUUUUCCUCUAAUAAUGGUGAGCAUUUGGUAUGCAAGCUUAAGAAAUCCAUAUAUGGAUUGAAACAAGAUUCUCGUCAGUGAUAUUUAAAAUUCCAUGAUGUUAUCUCUUCAUUUGGAUUUAUAGAAAACCUUAUUGAUCAAUGUAUAUACCAGAAGGUCAGUGGGAGUAAGAUUUGUUUCCUUAUUCUAUAUGGAUUUGUUUCCUUAUUCUAUAUGUGGAUGAUAUUCUACUUGCAUCCAAUAACAAAAGAUUGCUUUGUGAAGUAAAACAAUUUCUCUCUGAGAAUUUUGACAUGAAGGAUAUAGGUGAUGCAUAUUAUGUCAUACGCAUUAAGAUCCAUAGAGACAGAUUUUAGGGAAUUUUGGGUCUGUCUCAAGAAACUUAUGUCAAUAAGGUCUUGGAGAGAUUUCAAAUGAAAAAUUGUUCACCUAGUAUAGCUCCCAUUGUGAAGGGUGACAGGUUCAAUUUGAACCAAUGUCCCAAAAAUGAUUUUGAAAGGGAAUGAAUUAAAAAUAUUCCAUACGCAUCUACUGUUGCAAGCUUGAUAUAUGCUCAAGUCUGUACAAGACCUGACAUAGCACUUGCUGUUGGAAUCUUGGGAAGAUAUCAGAGUAAUCCAGGUUUAGACCAUUGGAAAGCUGUAAAGAAAGUAAUAAGGUACCUUCAAGGCACCAAUGAUUACAUGCUUAUGUAUAGACGGACUGAUAAUUUGGAGGUAAUUGGUUACUCUGAUUCAGACUUUGCUGGCUGUGUUGAUUCACGAAAAUCAACAUCUGGAUAUAUUUUUAUGCUCGCCAGUGGAGCUAUAUCUUGGAGAAGUACAAAGCAGACUUUGACUGCUACUUCCACUAUGGAGGCUGAGUUCAUUUCUUAUGUUGAGGCUACCUCGUAUGGUGUAUGGUUGAAGAGUUUCAUAUCUAGGCUUAGAAUUGUGGAUUCAAUCUCAAGGCCAUUGAGGAUAUAUUGUGACAAUUCAGCUGCAGUUUUCAUGGCUAAAAAUAACAAACGUGGAAGUCGAAGUAAACACAUCGACAUUAAAUAUUUAACCAUAAGAUAAUGUGUUAAAGAAAAGAAAGUGGUCAUUGAACACGUUAACACUGAAUUGAUUAUUGCUGAUCCUUUAACAAAGGGCAUGCCCCCACAAAAGUUUAAGGAUCAUGUAGACCAAAUGGGACUUGGUUCCGUCAUGUAAUUUUCAUUGUAUAUGCAAUGUAAUAUAAAUGAGACUCUUGAUUUUCGUUUAUUGUGAUGUUUUCUCAUCUUUAUGUGCACAUUUAUUUAUAUUGAGAAAAUAUCAAUUUUAUUGGACCAAGAAUAAACAUGGGUUUAUUCAUUAAGUUAAGUUAUCAUACGUGACUGGAUUUAAGAAAAAUAAUGCAUUGUAAUACAUGGAAGAUAACACUCGUUCUUAGAGGACUUAUCGCUAUGAUUCAUGUAUUAUAUUUCUUAAGUCUAAUGAAUUGAUAUCAAAUCAAGUGAAAUGUUUGGACCAAGUGGGAGAAUGUUGGACACCUGACUGUUGAGGUGUUUUUCUAAAAGAAGUCUCUAGUAUGUGGACCAACAUUUCAUUUGACAUUAAUUCUGCCACGCUUGGAGCUAGCUGUUAGAUGUUAUGAUAGCUAAUUAUAACUACCAUAACUUCAUCUUUGAUGGAAAGAUGAUAAUAUCAGGAGAUGGUGAAAUGGUUUUGGUCCCUGGCAGCUUGUAAUCAAAAGAAAUCAAAAAGUACACCAUCAUUACUGAUUACUGAAGUUACUGAAGUAUCAAAAUCAAAAAGUAAACAGUUGAAAUGACACAUUAAUGGCUGGAGGUUAGGUUCUCAAACUUCCGCAUUUAAUUUUCAAAGCAUGUUAUGUAUUAUUCGGAAAUAUGCUUACAUGUUAAUGAUUCACUUGUCAUUCUUGUGUGCCAUUAUUCAUGAAAGCUCAGUGCCCUGUUCUGCAGUAUGUGUAAGACCUUAAGGAUAAACCACUUAAAUUGCUUUUGUAUCUUUUACUUUAUUUCUGUUUUUGUUUCUUACGUCAGCCAAUCUCUUGAUUUAGGGUUCAUUAAAUUCGAUCUUGAUUGCUUGAAUCAAGGUCUUGGGGUGGUUAGUUUUUGUAUAAAUAUAUUUAUAAUCUUAAUGCAGUGGGCAACUGUCAUGAAGGGAAUUGGGAUACCAUUACUAUUUUGUUCAUAAUUUUAACAAAUUUUAUUUUAUCUGCUAUGAAUUGUUUCACCAAGGAAGUUGAUUGAUCAACAUAGGUUUAUUGGACAUAGAAAAUGCACAGCUGCGUUAGUUCCAAGCUCUAUUUUUAGCUAUUCAGUUAUUAAAAAUUCUCAAUGUACAUAAACCAAAACAAAAUAGAAAUUAUAUUACUUAUCCUGUAUAGUUAGAAUGCAGUACGCAAUUCAAAUAAAAUACAAAAUUAAAAAGAUAUUCUUAAAACUAGAGGACUUCAAUUUGAUUUGGAACUUCAGUGUACCAGGCUGCAUCACAGCUUGAUAUUAUCACUGAAUGUUGCCAUAAGUUCUGAACUCAAAGUUCCACCAACAGUUUCAUUGUAAAAACUCUCAAAAGCCUCCUUCAGGGCCUUGUGGAACAACUCGUGGUUUAUGAAACCAUUACUAACAUAUUCCAUAUACUCGUUGUGUAGCUCAAUUAAUUCCCGAAUAAGGAUCUGUUGCUGCAGCUUGCUCUUUGCAGCAUCUUCAGCCUGUUGUACCAACUGCGUACAUUCAGCAAUAACAUGCUGUUUGAAUGCACUAGCCACUUGUUCCAAGCCGUUAGGUAUUUUAUGGUAAAGCCUACACAUCCUGGAAAGAUCAUCCACCCUAUCUUGUCCAAGCAAUGCUCUGCAUCCUGCUUGUUCGUUUUCAAGGAGCUGAAUUGCAUUCACUACCAACAACUCAUGUUCUACUUUCUCCACCAAUUUUUGCGCGCUGCUCGAAUGCAUAUAAUGAGACACUCUUAUCUCUUUCCUUCUCCAAGCAUUCCUCAGCCUUGAUCAUGUAAUCUGGACACGAAUCCGAAAGAAUCCAAUUCGAUACCUUACAAGAAUAGUAAUUACCGGUAUCCCGAAGCAUAUGUUCUUCAAAAUCCUUUUCAUAACAAUCCAUCUUCCCCUGUCCAAUCUCAACAAAGAUAUUCCAAUACAUUCUUCAGUAAUGCCCUGUCAAUCUCUUCUCCCUCGCGUUCUCUAUCAAUUAAAGCAAUUACGACAUCUUUUGCUUUAUGCUUUAGAGCAUCAAAAACCAGAUCCCGGAAGCAGGUAAGUCCAAUUUCACUAAUUGUAGGAAGUGCUCUUUGACGAAUGUAAUAGCGUUCGAGAUAGUUGAAGCAGAGUGCCAGCCAUUUAACCAUAACUUUAUGAUUAGCAAAUCUUUUCACAAGCUCCCUCAGCAAAUGCUCAUCAUGCUUCUCACUCAAAGAUGGAAAUACCGUUGAUGACAUAUAUUCUUCAAGAUCUUGCUUGCACUUGUUAUACAGCUGAGCAGAAUAUCCAUGAUGAGGCCCCUGGAUGCAAGUAGAGUAGACAGAGCUGUAAAGCAUAACGUAAUCGUCCACAUUAAAGGGUGGCUCUGGUAAUCCUUCCGAAAUCCUCCUCAAUUUUGUGAUCCAUUUCUGGAUAAUGUCCCAUCCUUCAUCCAUGUCAAUUUCCUUGUGCCCCAUUGCUAAACAAUUACCAUCCAUGAAAGCAAUAACUUAAGAAAAAGCUGAAAACUAACUAGCUAUUUUAUUCUAAUCUUUCAACUCUAUGGCGAAUUUGUGACUUGAUAGCUCAACGUAGGUGCCUUUAUAUAGUUUUACCAUGUAUCCGAACUAGACAAGAAAUCCUAGGCCCGCAUUUUUGUAAUAGACAAAUUUUUCUUAAUCUAACAAGGAUUCUUUUCCGUUGGAAGAGUCCUUCUAGAAUUUUAAUAAGACAUGCCAAUAUUUAUAAUACAAAUACGUACCUGGCAUCCAGAAUUCGAAUAGCCUCUUCCUCUUCCUCUCUGUCCGCUCUUUCAGUAUAAGCUGUCAUCAUCGAUCUCUUUGCAUUCGAAUUACUAAUUAUUCUUUUAACUAUAUAUAUAUAUAUAUAUAUUAAUCUUUACUUCUUGGGCUAGAUCCUGGAAAAUUUCCCUUAUAGCCUUUACAUUUUUACAAUUUGUAUUAAAUAAUAAAUUUUUUUAUUUUAUGUUCAAGUAUGUUCCCAAUUCAAUUUUUUUCUUUCUUCAUUUUUAAAGUAGAGUUAGAGACUUAUUUUACAAUAUAACUCAGUUGUAUAUUUAUUGGAUAAACUGAAAUCAUUAGGAGGCUAAAAGAUUAGUACUAAUUCAACUUAUUAUAAAAAGUAUUAUGGUUUGUUCUAAUUGAAAAAAGAAAAAAAAAGAUAUGCCAAUAUAUUAUAACAUUCCCACUAGGAGUAAUUUUAAAAUAAGGAAAUCUAUUAUUCUAAUUAAAAUAAUAAUGGUAUGUGUCACUCAUCUAAUGGGCAAUGAAGGUAAAAUUACUUGUCACUCUAAUUCUACAAUCUAAUUGAUGAAUGGCACAUUAUUUGUAACUCAAUUUGGGACUCAAAUAAUGAGAUUCCUAGCAUUACUCAAUGAUAUAGUAACAAUUAACAACAUUUUUCAUAAUUUCAUGAUUUAUUUUUGUUCAUGCCAAAAUAUGGUCGUGUCAAUGUGCGGGUUACUUACUAGAUUCUAAUGACAACAUUAAAAUUUAUUUGUUCGAGGAGACGGUUUCUAGCCUCAAUUUAGCAACCUGAGCAAAAGUUGGCGACCAGGAAUCCGAUCUAGUGAGCAAGAAAUAGAGAGCAUGAUCCAAUCCUAGUGAGCACCUGCAACCAAAGAAACGGUCAGGGGUGCCGAAAGUUUUUCCGGCAUUAACCCUUCGAAGCUCAAGUUAGUAUCAAGGAUUUUCAUGUGAUAAUCGGGUGUAUGAAUGUUUGUGUAAAAAGACCUAAUCAAAAUGGACCAAAGAGAGAAAAAUUGGAAGAAACUCUCCCUUAAAUAGUAAAGAAUGAUAGCGAAGAGGGAAGACCAAUUGAAAAAUAAAAAGGAUAAGAAAGAUCAUAGAUCAAUCUUCAAAUUUCAAUUUGAUUAAGUAGGAUUUCUAGAGUUCAAAAAUUUGUCCAUCCCUUAUCCUUUUGGGAGUUUUAUAAGAAUGGCAAAGCCAACAGAGUCAAGUUUCAAGGAAAACCUAAUUCUGGUAGCUUUAUUUUAUCACCCAAACAAUUUCCUUCACAGUCAUACUUAUUCUUUUUCAUUUCAUUAAAUUAUAUUAUUCAAAUGUAUCACGUUCUAUAUCACCAAAAUAAAACAGAAUUUCAUAAAUAGUUUCUUUAAUGCAUAAUUUAAUUAUUUAUAUUAUAAGCUUGUUUGUUGUAUUGUUAUCAUUCUUUUAUUAAAUAUAUGUAAUUUACUAGGAGUUUUAAUGUUUAUGUUUUUUUCCCUCUUUCUUUACAAGAACCAACAUUCACACAAACAUUUACCAUAAAUUUAUAAAUUAGUCCAGGAUAAUAAAAGUCAUGGGUUUGCCUCUGCUAUUAAGAAAUGUUGUAUUGUUAUCAUUCUUUUAUUAAAUAUAUGUAAUUUACUAGGAGUUUUAAUGUUUAUGUUUUUUUCCCUCUUUCUUUACAAGAACCAACAUUCACACAAACAUUUACCAUAAAUUUAUAAAUUAGUCCAGGAUAAUAAAAGUCAUGGGUUUGCCUCUGCUAUUAAGAAAAAUUAAGACAAAAUGCUAUAACAAAUACAGAGCAACACACAUUUAUCAGUCAAACAUCCAUUAAGAUUGUUUAUUACUCAACCACAAUCAAAUUCAGUUCAUUAUUUGCAAUAGAACAGUGAAUAAAAUUAUUUUAACCAUCAAAUACAUUCCCAUAAAUAAAUAGCAAACAAGAAAAUAAGAAGAAGAAUUGAGCUCUGUUUGGUCUUUGUGACAUCUCCUUUGUUUUUUACUUGAGUCCUCUAUUACAACCUUCAAUCUAUCUCAUAAUUUUUGUUUUCUUGUUUUUUUUUUCAGUAUUCUCCUUGGCUGAUGGCUCUCCUUUUUUUUUUUUUUUCUUUUCAUGCGUGCUCCUUUUAUAACUUGAGAUUAGGGCAACAAAAAGUGUGUGCGCAUAUCCUCCAUUUUUGGAAACUUCAUAUCGCAAUCUUUUAGUUAUUGCGCCGAAAUCCAGUCUGUUAGUGCUCCAAGAUUUCUACAGCAACGGCUACAGCAUCUUCACUUAUUCGAACUUGUGUUAACUCAUCUGUAGUCAAGUUUUUUCAUUAUCUCUACAAGUCUUUUGCAAUAGCGUUCCUUCCCUAAAACUUGAGCUUCUCGGUCAUCUAUAAUCAUGCACAUAAUCUUAGCACAAAAAUGAUCUAGACAACUCAAUUUAUUAAAAAUAAUCUAAAAUAGAUGUUUAUGUAAAAUGUAACUAAAAUGCAAUAAAAAAAACACAUUAUUUACUCUCUAAAUAAUAUUGAUUUAAGUUUAAAAGUGUCAUGAUAACUCUCAUUUCAUAAAGUUAUCAGUUACUUUGCAUAUCCCUUUUCCGGGAUUCUACUUUGCUCAGAUAAAAUAAUUCGAACUCGCCCUUACAAUCUAGUGUUUUGUGUUAAUGUUGGCCAAUGUCAACAAUCUACCAAUUUCAACAAUGGCAGCACCGAAUUCGGUGCAGCCAAAAUCAAAGUUAAAAAAAAAAAAAGGCAUGAACAGUCGCUAAUUUUUUGCUAUAAAAGGAGGAUGCUCCUUCUUAUUUCAGCGUCCAAUUCUUCAAUUUCUAUUCUUUUCUUUAGAGAGAAAUUGAGAGUCGAGAGUUUCAAAGCUUUAAAAUCUUGAUUUAGUGAUUUAAGAAAUUAGGUGUAUUAGAGUUCUGGAUAAUGAGCCCAAAUAUUACAAUAUUUGUAAUCAUCUUUUCACUAGUAAAGUUUUAUCUUUCUGUCUUUACCCGUGGAUGUAGGCUAAAAGUAUGACCGCAUAAAUUUUUGUCAUGUUUAUGUGCAUAUUCUUUUUUUCUUCUAAUUUCAUUUCAGCUGUGACCCUACUUCACCCAUCAAUUUUCUAACAGUGGUAUUAGAGCUAAUGAUUAUAUUUUUUAGAGUCGAGGGUACUAUUCAUGCAUAUAGUAUUGUUCAAGUAUACAGUACUAUUCAAGUAUAUGACAUUGUUGAUGUAUACGGUUACUAUUCAUAUGAAAUGAUAGGAGCUGAUCCUAGCAAAAGUAGUUUGUGGUGAAAAGUAAUGGCAGAAAUAUACGAUAAUGAAAAGUUCAAUAGAAAUAAUUUCCCAUUGUAGAAAAUGAAUAUAAAAGUUAUUUUGAAGAAGAAUAAUUGCUUGGCAGCAAUUGAAGAAAUGCCCAUGGAGAUAACUGAUGAUGACAAGUGGAAUGAAAUGGAAGGCAAUGCCAUUGUUGAUCUACACUUGACACUUACAGAUGGGGUGUUAUCCAAUUUGACGGAGAAAAAGACAGCAAAGGAAAUAUAGAAUACUCUCACAAGAUUGUACGAGGCCAAGUCGCUACACAACAAAAUCUUCUUAAAGAUGAGACUUUAUACUCUUUACAUGGCGAAAUCUGCAUCGGUGACUGACCAUAUUAAUACUUUAAAGACUCCACUUUCGCAACUCACAAAGAGCCAAACUCAAUGUUCUUCCUUGUCCCUUGAGUUUGAGAGGACUGUUAUGGAAGCUCAUUUCAUACAAAAGAAGAAGAAAGAAAAUAGAAUUGUGACGUCAGAAGUUAGUGACCAAGAUGACAUAUCAGCAUAAAUCAUUAAAAAUUUGUUACAACGCAAUGUGUACUGUGUGUUGAAGUUCAGCUUGUAAUUAGUUAAUAGUUAGUUAUCAAUUAGUAAUGAUAGUGAUACUUAAGAGAUGUAUAUAAAUAGAGAUUGUAUUCUUGUAACAGAUUAAGCUGAGUAAUAAUAAUAAUACAGAUUCUAGAAACAUCUUUUCUCUUAUCUAUUUUCUCAGCAACCAAACAACAUCUCUAUUUUCUUUUAAAAUCUUUUAAGGUUUGUAUGAUAACAGAGUUAGAAUUACUUACUAGAGUGUGAUUCCUUGAAACAUUAUUUUUUAUUUUUUUACUUGAGAUGAUUAAUUUGGUGUUUGAUGAAAAAUGAAAUAUGUGGAAAAUUUUUAUUCUCUGCAUUCAUACGAAAAACAUAAUUGAAAUCAUUAAUCAUCGUAUAGCCUUGUGAUUUUUAGUGACACUUAUUUUGGGUGUUCCUUUUUAGAAACUCUCUUUCUUUCUUUUUCAGAUAUUUGUGCACUUGACGAUCAUGAAAACAGUUACCUUGAACGUUGAGAAAUCUGAGACCAUCAAAAAUCUCAAAGGUAUGGUACAUGAGAAGGAAGGGACAUCUGAAGAUAUUCAGGAUCUCUUCUUUGCUGGUGACAGGCUUAUGAAUGGCAGGUUGAUUGAUUAUGGUAUGAGAGCAACUCUACGCUCCAUCUUAUUGAACAGACAUCGAACGGACAAAACUUGUUUGUGAAAAUGCCAACGAAUGAGAGACCCGUUCUGGUGGAAGCAAUGGCUCACCAUAACACAUCAAAUCCCUGAUUCAUGUUAAGAAGGGGAUUCAGUCCGAUCGAUUCAUCCUUGUUUAUGAUGGAAAUCUUCUUGAAGAGGACAUGGCACUAGCUUCCCCGAAUGUCAAAAGGGAGUCAACAAUGCAAUUGCUCUUUUGUGCAAUUAAGGUUCUAUCCAUUUCUAUGAAAGCCCCAUCUGACGAUAUUCUGAAACUGAAAGUUAAAGUUUUUUUACUGUUGCUGAUGUCAAAGCAAUAGUUGGGAGUAUCACAGGCGUCUCUGUCAGCGAUUUGAUUAUGAACUAUGCAGGAAAGCUGCUUGAGGAUUGCAAGACUUUGGCAUUUUAUGACAUCAAAGAAGAGUGAAUGUUAGCGAUGUUUCCUUCAUUGAUUCAGAUUUUUGUUAAAAUGCUGACUGAAGAGAUUGUGAAACUCUAAAGUUAAAGUUUUGCUUACUAUUCGUGAUUUAUUUUGCACAGGAAUGAAGCUCAAGGAUUGCAAGACCUUGGCUUGUUACGGUGUCAAAGAUGACAGGGGUGUUGCCUGCUUCAUUUCAGAUAUUUGUUAAGACUUGGACUGCAUGGUAACACUACAUGUCGAGCUAUGUAACAAAAUAAAAGUUCCAAAAGAAAAGCUUUUUUACAAGCUGCAGAUUCCCCUUGAGCGUCAUAGUAUUGUAUAUGGUGGAAAGUGGCUGAAGGAUAACCUGGAUCUGGCAAGCCACGACAUCCAAAAGGACGCUACUCUCCACUUGGUUUUGCGCCCUGGGAUUCUAUUUUGUUUUCUGAUCUCGAGGAUAUGGCUUAACCUAAAUUUUGAGUUCCAGUAAAGGAAUUACAUUCUGUCAAGUGGUAGUACAGGAUGACUUCUCCUGACAGAUUAUGGUAUGAACUUUAUCACAAGACUGGCUCUAGCAUUUUGAAAGGAACUAAUAUAUACCUUUUUAUACAAUAUUGCUUAAUGACAGUACUUUCGAUAAUUAGUCGAACUUCUGAAACCAGUUCCAUCGAUGCAUUCUUGUCUUUUUUUCUUUUUUCUUUUUGUUGGAUUGAUGCUCUAAACUAAUCAUAUUUUACUAUUUCAGGUCCCUUUUCUUUUAGUUUUCACAUGGAUUGAUGCUCUAAAAAGUCGACUCCGUGACAUCAUUAUAUCAGUGAAGCAUCAGUUAUUCUCAUAAUUUUGUUUCCACCCUUCCGUAUUUAUGUCAUCUCAGCUUGUAUAGGAAAGUUUGCAUAACCAGUUUCUCAAGCUUAUCUGUAGCCAAAUUUUUACCCUAAAUACCUGCUCAUACUUACAGUUCAAUUUGAAUUGACCGAAAGCUAGGUCUAGUACCAUAUCCAGGCAGAAUGUGCAGUAAAGCACCCUUGUGUAAUGGUUAUUGCUUAUGCAGUUAUUCCAUAAGUGGUUCUAUCUUAUCUUCCAAAUAAUUCUCAGUAGGGUAGAUUUGAUAUUAUAAGUGUAAAUUUUUUAUCUAUACUCAAUGAACUUUCGGAUUGUAUUAUAUAAUAAUAAAUGUAGAUUUCAUUUUUAGCUAUACUCUAGAAUUAUAAAAGAUUUAACCUUUAGGAUCAUAGUAAUAAUAUAUUAGAAAAAUAAAUCGCUCGGUUUGGGGUUUACAUUGCUAUUAUUUAGUCUAUUUCUUUUUACUUCUCACUAAUCAUCAAAGAAAAAAAGACAAUAUUUAACACGUUUUUUUUUAAAUAGUAAUGCUAGACAUGCAAUUGCAAAUCCCAACUAAUGUUGUUCUAGUACAAAUCCACCACAAAUGGUAAAGUAUAUAAACCAACCCUUACAUUCUUUGUCACAAUUGUAUAGUAUUAUAGUUAAUAUUUUUCCAAUAUUAACUUUUUUUAGUAAAUUCUCACCCAUUCUUGAAAACUUACCAAUUGUGAUAUGUAGGAAAGCAAAGUUGAUAAAAUACUUUAAAAAAGAAAAGUGGAGAAUAAUAAUUUUUUUAAAAAAAUAAUAAAAUUAUCUCUUGCCUAAUAUUGGUCUUUAUUGUGGUAGCUUCACUUGGUGGGAUUCUCCUCCUAAUGAGUUUAAAAUAUUUAUUUCAUGCCAUGUCAAUAGAUUUCAAAUCCACCACAUGCUUUGGUAUUUGUCUUGACUUUAAGCAUUUACGAGUUAAGGCUUAAUAUGUCUUCUUAAGUGUUCCAUUUAAAAAAAUUAAAUGACAUUGUUCACAAAUGAGAGCAAAUUAAUAAAUAAAUGCCAAUGCCAUAAUAAAAACUCUUUAUAAUUCAACAAAAAAAAAAACUCUUCAUACAAAUUUUUACGUACAAACUGCUACGUCAAAAAAUAUUAAAAACGAUAAUAACAAUAAAAACUCUGCAUGAUUGUCUUUUUAAGAGUUUAUUACAUACUUAUAUCAAACUUCAUCAUUUUUUAUUUUUAUUUUGGGAUUUAUUGGAUAUGGUUAGUUGCCAUUUGUAAAGCGAAGUGGAAAUUGAUUGUUCAAGUUUGCCAACUUCUUAACUCUCUCUGUCACACCCUUGACUCUCAUUCUCUCUUCAUAACCGUCUUCUACUUCAAAGAAAAGGGGAAAAAAAUUGUAUUUUUUUGGUUCAUUCUCCAUGGAUUCAUCAGAAGGUCAAUCAUCCACAACCCACUUCAAUUCCCCUGAAGAAGAGGUCUAUAUACGUUUCACCUUUUUUUCUUUUAAUUUUUUUGGUUAAGUUGUAAUUCCAUUUUUACUUUUUAUUUUUCUUACAGUUGUUAAGAAAAUAAAAAGUGUAUGAUGUGCAGGUGGGUUUCAUUUUAGAAGUGAGAUUAAUAAAUUGAGAUUGAUUCAUGAGAAGGACAUGAAACAGAGUAGUUUCUGAAAAAUGAAAUUGGUGUUUGUUUGCUUAAGAUGUUUAUAUAUGUAAUUGUUACCGAGUUGUCUACUUAGACACAUGAUGUUUCUUUUGUUUGCAUCAUCUAAUUAAUCUCUAGAAUUCUUGCUUGUGAUCUUGUGAUCUUUUUCGGCAUAAUAUUGGAAACUUGUAUAACAUGAACUCCAGCUAUAAUGUGUGUUAGUUGGUUCAAUUGGUAAGUACAAUUAUGCAUCAUAUAAUCUCUCAAAUGCUUACUAGCUAGUAUAUAUCUUUAUAUACUAUGUUUUCUCUGUAAUUAUGAAGGAUGGAUUGAAUUUUGUUUUUAGACAUAAUUUUUUAAACUUGUAUUACAUAAACAGCAUCUAAAUUGUGUGUGGUAAUUGGUUCAAUCAGUAAAAUCUCUUGAGGUAAUACAAGAAAUCCAGGACUACUUAUUUCUAUGAUAAUCUCUUGGGGUAAUUGAUUCAACCUUAAUGAUUUGUAUGAUAAUCGUACCAGGAUUACUUAUUUCUAGUGUGAUUCAGUGAAACAUUCGUCGUACAGUAAUUAAAUCAUUAAUCAUCUAACCUUAUAAUUGUUAGUGACUCUCAUUUUGAGUGUAUCUUUUAGGAAUUUACUUUCAUUUUUUUCCUGUAGAUAAAUGUAUACUUGAAGAUCAUAAAAACAAGUACCAUGAAAGUUAAGAAAUCCGAGCCAAUCAAGAAUCUCAAAGCUAUGAUACAUGUGAAGGAAGGGAUAUCUGAAGAUAUUUGCGAUCUUUUCUUCGCUGGUGAUAGGCUCGAGGCAGGCAGGCUAGUUGAUUAUGGGAUUCGGAACAACUCCACUCUCCAUUUUCUUCACCAGAAUCUUAGUGAAAUGAAAUUGUUUGUGAAAAUUCCAACUAAUCAAACAGCCACUGUCGUGGAAGCAAUGCCUUACCAUACUGUUCAAAACAUCAAAUCAAUGAUUCAAGUUAAGGAGGGGAUUCAAUCCGAUCAAUUUACCCUUGUCUAUGAUGGAAAACUGCUUAAAGAGGACACGGCGACUAUGACCUCCAUGAAUAUCAAGAGUGAAUCAAUCAUUCAUUUGGUCUUUUGUCCAAAAGAGAUAUUAUCAAUUUUCGUGAAAGCAGCAACGGGAGAGAUUGUGAAUCUUGAAGUUAAACAUUCGUUUGCUAUUCGUGAUGUCAAAGCAAUAGUUGGGAGCGUUGUGGGUGUCUCUGCUGCGGAUCAUAUUAUGAUAUAUGAAGGAAAGAAGCUGGAGGAUUCUAAGACUUUGGCAUUUUAUGACAUGAAAGAUGAGUGCUUGUUAGAGAUGUUUCCUUCAUCGAUUCAGAUUUUUGUUAGAACACCAAUUGAGGAGAUUGUGAGACUCGAAGUUGAAGUGUUAAUUGUUGUUCGUGAUGUAAAAGAAAUUGUUGCGAACAUUAUCGAUUUAUCACUUGGCAACCAAGAUUUAUUUUAUGCUGGAACGAAGCUUGAAGCUUGCAAGACCUUGGCUAGUUAUGGCAUCAAAAAUAAUUACGUCUUAGACGUGCUACCUUCCCCAUUUCAGAUAUUUGUUAAGACUUGGGGUGGAAAGACUAUAACACUUGAUGUCCAGCCAUAUAACACGGUCCAAGAUGUGAAAGUCAAACUUUUUGACAAACUGCAGACUCCUCUUCAUCUUCAGAGUAUCGUAUUUGCCGGAAAGCGGCUAUUUGAAAACCAUGUUCUGGCAAGGUACAACAUCCAAAAGCAUUCGACUCUUCACAUGGUUUUGGCACCGUCUUCAAGGAUCAUCGAAUUGCCAUUAAUCUUUAUUGAUCCUUCAAUAUCACUGUCUAUUUCCAUUUCUGAAGUGAAAGAAAUGGCUAAAGUCAAAUUUCAAGCUGCAGUGAAGGAAUUAUUAGUCGAUCAAGUGGCAUUACAGGAUGACCGCACUCUGGCUGAUUAUGGUAUGGACUUGUCCGAGAAAGUGGUUCUCGUGUUUUGAGAAGGCAAUAAUAGAGUCUUAUUCCAUAUUGGUUGAUGCCAUUAUUUUACCUGAUAUAAUUACAUUUGAAAAUCUAUACACAGAUGCUUCAAAGGACAUGUAUUUUAGACCCUUUUCUUAAAUUUAUCUUUUGGAUGUUUGGUAUGUUUUGGUAUUAAGUGUGGAGGAUUAAAUAAAUAUCAAAACAUUCUGGGUAUAUGAAGCAGAAGCUGACAUUGGAAAUUAGUUUUGAGCCUUUAUUAUCUCUCUGUGGAAAUUAACUAGUUUCUCAAGCUUUAUCUGUAGUCAUUGUUUUGAUCGGAAAUACCGUGCCAUAAGGUAGAAUACUUUGCCGUAAGAAGCUCUCAUUGAAUUGUUUUUUUUUUGCCAAAUCCACGUUUUCCCUUUUCUCAGCUCAUAGCUGCCACAAGUUUUACCCCUACUUGAGUUUGCCAAAAAUAUCCUCAAAAUUUCACAUCUUUAAUCAUAAAUAUUCAAAGAUCCUAGAAAAAUACCAUCUCUGUAGAAUGUAAAAGAAAGUGAAAAUAUUUCAAGUUUUGAGCUUGUGCAAAUGGCAUUGAGCAUAAACUUGUAGUUUUCCAAUGUGCUUCUAAUGGUGAUAUACGCAAACACUUUCUUUCCACAUCUAGGUCCCAGGCAUAUGUACAUCUAUGUAGAAGCUUUUUCUAUUAUGAAUUGUUGAUCCUUUAAUGAAUGACACUGACAUGAUUAACAAUAGGUCUCAAGCUAUUUUUUUUCUCUGUAAGCUGCUUUUUCUAUGUACAGGUCAAAACAAACACAAGUUCUCUCUUCUCCACUUUGUUGAUUUUCUUGGCAUCCGGAACAUGGCAAGAAAAAAACAAAUACAAUGGUUGAUAAAAUAAGGUUUGAGUUCCAUCCCUCCGUCCUGAAGAUUUUGUAUACCUGUAAAAUUUACAAAUGGCUAGAUUCCUGCUGAAACUUACAUCUCAUCCCCUGUCUUCUUCGUUCGUUUCUACAACCGUACUUAGCUUUACCUCAGUUGUCUUCAUUCUCUGACCUGUGUCAGUAUCAGCCAAAGAAUUCCCGCCUUUUGAUUUCAAUGCUUUCGAGGGCCCUUCACUGCCCUUGGAUUUUUUCCGGCGAGAUGAUUUUGGAACACCAGCAGGAUCACUACAGGUUGACUGAUCAUCUCCUAGACUUGACUUGUUCAGCCCUCUUGGGGAAUCUACUGAAUACCUAGAUUGCUUUGAUCCAUCAGACCGCCGCUUGGUCGGGGAAUCUACGACUGAGCCUCCGCCUGUAGACGAUUUGCUUCUGGACUUAUGCUUAGGCUUAUCAGUAGUACUUUGAGGCUUUUUGUCUUGAGUAUCGUUAGAAACCAGCAACAUCAGAACAAUAAAUUUAGAUGUCUUUGCAUUGCAAAAAAUAACACAAUGGAAUAUGUUGUUCAAUGAAACAAACAGACCUGAUUCUAAAUAUUUCGCGGGGUUCUUCGAUUCUUUAAUAGAAUUAGAAGGCCGCUUUGCUAUUUCCGGAACACAUUUGAAGCCAGACAUCUGCACAAUUUUAUGGUAUUGUAGCCAUGGCACAUGUAUGCAUAAACAUUUUGUCUUUUAAAAAAAAUAAAAAAUCUAUUGCUUGAGAGAGUGUGAAAGGAAAACAGAAAUUACCCAGCUGGGAUCAACAGCGGAUGGACCAUCCCAGCCAAUAUGGGCAACAUGCUUUACAUCUGUGGGGAGACCAAUUUGCAUUUCUGGUUCUUUAGGUUGAUCUGCAAAAGCUCUAAUGAGCACCUUUGUAUCUAUAUUGAGAGGAAAAAUGCAAAAUGAAGUGAAUUAUAAUGUAAAAUAUGUACAGAAAUGAAAAAUUGUUCAUACCAAAUAUUUGUGCAAUGUAUCUCAGCCCUUUUAAUAGGCCCUUGACUGAUGUCAUUUUAGCUUAUAUUCACUGGAAACUUUCCUCCUCAGGUUGCUGCUGCUGCUUUUACUUGUUCCACUGCUAUUCAAAUGCCAAGAAAAAAAGGAAAAAUGAAAAUCAUAGAUGAGAAAUUACAUGAACCCAGGUACAAAUUUCACAUAAGCGAAUUAAAAUAAUAAACAGAUUAGAGAUACAAACUUGAAUCAAACCUCUAGGGGAAAAAAAAUAUUGAAGAAUAUGCCAUGAUCACUGCCUUUUGUAAUGUAGUAGUAAAUUUUCCAUUCUCACCCUCUCACCCACAUAACUCAAUUGCAGAAACAUGAAGCAAAUACCAUUUUACACAACAAUGAAAUUUUCCAAAAAGAAGACAAAAGCAUGAACAACUUCAAUUUAGUUUAUCUCAUUUUAUUUGAUCAAUUCUUGCUUGUUUUGGUUUCUAGGAAAGGAGAGCAAGAAACGGAAGAUUUCAAAAGCAAUCAAAGUCGAGCACAGCCCUUUUGUUUUGACAGACGCGUGAUCCGUUCCUGUAACCAGUCAAUGGAAGCCAGUAAAUGACCAAAUUUUUGGGAUAAAAAUCUAGAAAGGCAAAACCAAAAAUAAAACCAAAGAGGAUUGGCUAAAUAUGCGCAGCCGUUUUGAUGAAAACGCGGGAAAAACGGUUAGGAAGUAAAUGUCUGGUAGUUUGGUUAUGACGUGUAUGCCGUAGGUCUGUUCUUUUCACAUCAUCCGUGGGCAACAAUUAAUCAAUACAAUAUGCGGAAUACGGAUAAAGGAUGCCUAUAAAAUUAUUAAAUGCUUCAUGAAAACAUUGUAAGUUUGGGAUUGUUUAUUGCCGAAGAUAUUUUGGGUCACUUCGUAUAUAUUAGUGCUGAAAAUGUUCCCCGUCUACAAGCCUAGGUCUGGGUUUGUGGUUCUCGUGAGUGAAAAGAUUUUUGAUCGGUCACUGCAACACAUCAUAAGGAGAAAUUAUAGAAUACUUCUGAUUUAAUACAUGCAUAAUGUGUGUAGUUAAAUUUAAUAUGAACGCCACUUGUAUGAUGGUUUUUUAAAAUAAAUACACACAUAUUAUAACAUCAUUUGCUUAUUGUAUAACUGAUAUAAUAUCUCUAAUAUAUUCUAUAAUUUCUAACUAUUAAGUGUAAGUGUGUGAAUUCUUAUUGAUGAGAAAAAGACUUAUUAUUUUUUUUUUUAUAUUAAUCACGAGGUAUUCUGAGGAGGGCCCCAACUGUGGGAGACACCUUUAAACCCGUACCACAACUCAGAUUAAAAGUCCCCGCUCGAACCGGGAGAAAAAGACUUAUUAAGGGCAUACAUGAGUUCCGCGACCAAUUAGAAGGUGUCAUAACUACUAUCUCACAAAUCAAGUGGGUUCCACAAAUUUUUUAUUUUCCAAAUCUCAAUUAAAGAGGGUGGUUCCCCUACCAAACCCCCCCCCCCCCCCCCCAANNNNNNNNNNNNNNNNNUCCCAAAAUCCUACAAGAAAAACAAUUUGGUGAGGCAAUGCAAUCAAAUUAUAUUUUUAAAAUAACUCAAAUACAAAUCUCGUAGGUUAACAAACGAUAUUUUAUCCAUCUAUCCAUUGAACCAACGAACAUCCCACUUUUAUUGAUUUUUAAAUUUUAUGUGUAAUUUGUAAACGAAGUAAUAAUAAUACUUCGAGAAGAAGCAACCAAAUUAGGCUGGCAGAUGUUAAUAUCAGUCCCAACCACAAUUACGAUUGUCGUUAAUAAAUUUUUCUCUUUUAGUUCGGAUCAUUAGUUAUAUUUUAGAAGAUUUAAAUGAUUAAAAAACUAUACAUUUUUAACUUGCUAAAAAAUUAACCAAACAGACAUGUUAUUCAACUCAAUUGGAAUUUUAGUCAACUUCGUAUUAGUAUCUAGUUUUCCGAUGAAUGUGUCACCCGGCAUAAUAACAAAUUUCAAAUCACUAUUACGAGCAACAAAAUUAGAAACUAAUGAGGCAGUCCAAAAUCCAAAUCAAACAUUCGCAAUUUUAAGGAAGUACAAGUUUAAACCGGAAGAGGUUAGUCGAUUGGACAAUAUGCGGUAUAGAUUGAAGUCAGCUGAUUGUUUAUCACGUCCAUAUAUUUAGAAGCCAAUGGAAAAAUGUCCAGAAACUAAAAUGGCAAAGAAGUUGACACUCAAGUGUAAAGCAGAGCAGCAGCCACUGAUCGUGGGAAUUUUUCCACUAUGAAGCU
This 53740-nucleotide long non-coding RNA is filed under the name Citrus sinensis (sweet orange). RNAcentral's name for it is "long non-coding RNA (CSIN_LNC003849)". Lineage: Eukaryota; Viridiplantae; Streptophyta; Magnoliopsida; Sapindales; Rutaceae. The record is from RNAcentral.